AAAAUUUAAGAACCAUGUGUUUCUUUGGGAUCUCAAAGUUGAUUAAUUUUUAUAGUAAUGCAUAAGAGUACAUCUUCUUUUGGGAGAUAAUGCAUGAAUACAUAGGAGAUGCAUAAGAUACAUAGGAGCUAUAUAGCUUCCUUGUGUAAGUGGAUGUGACUCAUGAUCAUGCCACUAAACAUUUUUUUAUCAAUUAUGGACGAUAAUUCUUAGUAGAAGGAAGCUAAUUUGCAUUUUGAGCAAGUUCCUGCCAAAGUACAAAUGAAAUAACAACAUAAAUUCAGGACUAUAUGCAAAAUUGCAAUAAACAUGUAUUGUGUAAGUCAACUAUAUGUUGAGUACUGAAGCAAUAAUUGAUUCAAGAAAUUGAUUCUACUCAAAAUUGAGAAAAUCUUUUCGCCAAAAUAUCAAGAAUGACAAAAUGUGUCAAAACUCUAUACAUUGUUGAGAAAUUUUUACAUGGGGCAGAGACGCUACGUGGCCGUGGGGCAGACCAAUAGGAUGAUAUGUAAGUGUGUUAUAGCUCUAUGUAUUUAAAAAACAAGGAUAAUUAUGGUAUUUACAUAAAGUUUGUUACAUUCUUAUUAAGCUGCUCCACAACCACACGAUACGGAAAGCCAUACUUAAGAAUUUUUCUACAUUGUCAUAUUACAAACUGAGUUUUUAUUUUUUUCUCAACCUUCACCCGCCCUCGGUGUCGCCCGAUUUGAUCGGGGUUAAUAGAGAAGCCCAUCUUUGUCAGCCUGUCUAGGAAGGUAUUGCCUCCCAUCGAAAAAUCACAAACCGAUCACCCGUUUUGAUGAGCCGCUUGUUUCGUGCCACCUAGCAGCGACAUUUCUUGGAGGUCGACAGUCGAGAUCUUCCAAUGGAAGCAAGUCCCCGAUGUCGUGCGUUACAUCUUCUUCUCCUCUCCAGACAAAGAAGAAGCACCAAUUUGGAUUGACGCAAUCGAGUGCUAUUACAAACCUAGCAGGCAGCGGGUAGGGUUUAGUAAAGCUUUGACCGUGUGGUGCAGAGUACUUUUUUUUUUUUUUUUUUAAGACCUAUUAACUCUAAUUCAAGUAAGUAUGGAUUUUAAUAAAAUAAAAAAAUAAAAAAUAAAAAAUAAAUAAAACAGACUUUAAUAAACAUAGAGAGAAGAACACUAUUAUAUGAACUUUUUUUUUUUGGUAACACAUGCAUCUUUUCUUAUGUAUCAGCUAAUGUGGCACAAACACGUCAGUUACUGAAAUCUAUAUGAUAGAUUGAACUUUAUACACUUUUGUCAUAUAUGCUGCCACAUAAGAUCAGAUUAAGUGAUACCUCAAAAGAUGGUCAAUCUAGUAAAACCGUAAUGAUUCUUUUACCUCCACCAAGGCUCCGACAUCUACCUCCUAAAAGCAUCCAUCGAAAAGGAACUGCCUAACUGUUCACCCACCUAUUCUCCGAUGGUGCGACCCCGUGGCUACCACCAUAACACAAACACUAGCCUACACCGGCCAUAAACUCAGAUGGCCCCCAACAUUGAGCGGUACUUAUCUCAGCACAAGUUAGGUAGCUAGCUAGGCAUAUAUAUGCAGAAGUACAUAGCUUUGCUAACGAGGGUGCAAAGAUAAUCAGGUUAAAGACCUGUGCGCACUAGGAAAGCUAGAUCAUGACCUACUCACUUUUCUUUUCUGAAUUAAAACCCUGAAGCUGAAGGUUCCUUUCCUUCCUUCUACUGUUUCAAUAAUAACCAAGUGGGCUCGUGACUCAAACUCCUCCAGCCAUAGCUUUUGAACCUUCGAAGUCCACACUCACAGUCACUGCUAUAUUUUCCAGUAGUGAUCUACUGGGUAAAACAAUGCAAGGCAAGAAAACGUGGAAGGCAUCUAUUUGUUAAAGGAGGGCCAAAUUUUCUUCCUGGGAUGUGGAGGCACUAGUUGCCAACCUCCCCCAGCCGACUAAAGGGCAUUGAUAGCGCUUGGUUGCAUCAUGGUUCAUGCCAGUCCACACCUACCCAUGAGUGCAUGCCCAACCCCAAAGCUGCAUUGUUUAUCUAAAGUAAUGUUAUCUUCAAAGUUAAAUAAGGACAUGCAGUCAGCAGGCAUAUACAUCAUUUUCUUUUGGGACAGUUAUUGUUUUUUGUUUUUGUUUUGGUGAUGUUGCAUGUGUAGUCUAGUGUAAUUAAAAAUCUUACUUUCAUGUUUAGCAGUUUUGCAAUUACAUUUGCCAUGAAAGUCUUUUUUGACCAAUAUUAGUAAUUUGUAUCAAAAUCAAAAUGAUACCAACAGUUCAAUUCCAAGAAAAUAUAGGGACCAGCAAAUUGUCUUCUUUUUUGUUUGAAUUAGUCCAAUAUAUAUAUAUAUAUAUAUAUAUAUAUAUAUAUUAUAGAAGUAAUUAGUGACGUAAUGAAGGAUAAUAUGAUUCGUUGUUGUGAGAGACAUUUUCCUUCAAAACUUAAAGACUCUUCUUCUAUCCAUCUAAUAAUUCAAUCUUUUCCAAUAGUCAUAGAACUAUAUAAUCCAUUCAUGUAAGGUUAAAUUUUUUUUUCCCGAUCAAUUGCCAUUAUCUUUUUAAUUCCAAGUUAGCAAACAAGCCAUAAGUUUUUAUUAAAAAUUAUUUUGACACAAAACAUGUUGAAUUCUAAAUCGGUUACCACUAAAGCGAACAUACGGUUGACACUAAAUAUGUUUAACAUUAAAUCAUUUCUUACAACAAAUUUAGAUCAGUCUAGAAGUUGGAUCACUCCCAUAAUUCUAGCAUGAUCUCCAUGAUUAGUAGUCAACAAGGAUGGUCUAGAUCAAGGAUCCAUUAUUUACUAAGAGAAACAAAGAUGUGUCAUUCUAUAUCAAUUGACGAUGAUUGUUGUAGUAUUGGUGAAAAUAUGAAGCAUUCAUUAUAUCAUUGUAACGUUAUCUUCACAUCUUUCAGCCGUUUAAGUCUCAUUGAAUGUGGAAAACUCUGUUGAUUGUAUGACGAUCAUAAUGAUUAACGAGCAGUCAGAGCAUAUAUAUUAUUGUGAGGUCGUGACAAAUGACCCACAAGAUCCUAACAAAAAUUGGUACACUGAAAACAAGGAAUGUCAAAUUGUCAACUUAACUAGUAUAUCCUUUCCUUGCAUUCUCCUAGCUUGUCUUGAAAUGAAACAUAUAUCAAAGAAGUGGCAAAAUUUAAGCUUCCUUUUACACACGUACCUAGCAUAGAGCAAGUAAUUACUACUCCAUCACGUUGCGAGGUUAGUUAUCUAACCACCUUUAUCAACAAGGGUACGAGAAGAUUAUAAAAAAAAAAUCACUACCACACCAAACCAAUACUCUGAUUAGUGAAUUAGUUUAAGAGAGAUUUUUGAAAGAUUAAGCUAAUCCUGUUAAGCCUAAUGCGUAGUGAUUAAGUUAACCAAUAGCGCUAUGAGUAUAUAGAGACUAGCUGUAUAUUCGAAAACAAACUAAAAAGGAUUGUGGAGUCUUAUCAGGAUUUGCAAUUUGAUGAGACACAUGUAUAUGGAGACAAAGAAUAAAUUAGGAUAUAGGAAUUUUGAGUUCUGCCUUUAGAUCGAUUAUUGCACAAAUGUAGUAAGAUGCCCCAUGUUUUGGAGAUUCUAAUUCAACUAAUUUUGCUGAAAGCAGAAAGCCAAGGCUGAGUAUUGGACAGAAUUUGUGUGACCAAGUCUUGUUACCUCUAGGUGACAAGGGCCAAUAACAAUGCACCACCUACCCAUCAACUUGUUGCUCAAGGCCUUUUGAUGUCACUAUGUUUACAAUUUUCAGUUUUUUUUUAAUACAAGACUAAAAAUGACAGGUGACGCAUUGUAAUUGGUUCUUGUCACCUAGAGGUAACAAGACCUGGUCACCCAAGUUCUAUCCCUAAGUAUUUCACAAUAUUGCUACUACUAGAAUUCUAGAAAAGCACAAGAGGUUAACAACUAAACAUAACAAUGGAUUCUAACCAAUAUGGGGAGUGUGGAUUAUAAUUUGGGGAGUGUGUAUUUCACAUCCUUAUAAUUUCUAUAACAACGGAUAAAUAUGCAAAGAUUCCUUUAACUUUUGCCUCCGGGGCCGGUGAAUUUUAGGUGCUGAAACACAUUACAAAGAGAGCAUUCAUAGCGACAUUUUUAUUGAUAGAAUAUUACUGGAACCUAUAGAUAAAAGGAAGAAGUCAAAUGGCCUGAUUUGGGUUUCCAAAUGUUGAUCAUCCUGACAUUCUUCACGAGUUCUAUUGAUACCAACAUGAACUAAAUGUGCAGAGAAAGACAGGGAAUUAGAUUCUUGGAGGAUUGAAAAUGGCUCUAAUUUGGCGCAGCUACAUACCUACACGCCCCGUAAGGAACAAUAAGAGCAUCUCCAACAGCUUCUCCAAAAUUUCUCUAAAAUGGGGAAGCAAAAGCUAAAAUCUCCAAAAAAAAUUAUGCUCAAAAUCCCCGUAAGGAACAAUAAGAGCAUCUCCAACAGCUUCUCUAAAAUUUCUCUAAAAUGGGGAAGCAAAAGCUAAAAUCUCCAAAAAAAAUUAUGCUCAAAAUCCAACAGUUUCUCUAUUUUGAAAAUUUAGGCAUUUAAUACAACAAUAAAAUAUACUAUAUCAUUAUUAAUUAUAACAAAAAAAUAUUAUAUAUUUCAUUGGAACAAUAAAAUACCCAAUAAAAUAUCCUAUUAUUGUCUUAAAUUCGUUGGAGCACGUGAAGAAUUUAAUUUUGGGGAAUGAAGACUUUGCUGCAAAUUUAGGGAAUGAAGGCUUCUCUUUCUUCUCCAUCCCCGUUUUGGAUGGGGAAACUGUUGAACCUAAAAACAACUCUAUAUUCCCCAAAAUUGAGAAGUUCAAGAAAAUGGAGAAGUUGUUGGAGAUGCUCUAAUAUUUAAACAACUCGAAUCUUAAGGUUCCAUAAAUAAGGUGAUUAAGGUCUAUUUUAGGGCCAUUUUGAUUGACAUGGCUAACCAUCCCAAGCCACGACUUGUUGCUAGAUCCACUGAAAUAUUCUACUCAAUUUAAUGUAAAACGGAUAUGGGGAAAAUUGCAAGUCAUAGAAAGAAAAAAGGUUAAAAUACCUAGAAAAGAAAUUUGGCCAAACUAGCUUUGCUCAGUUUGCUGCCUAAGUAAUGUAAAAAUCUGUCGUGACUUGUGACACAUAUUUUGGACAAACAUAUCAACUAAAAUUAAGCAUACUUGAAUUAUGUUUAGAAUUGCCGUUGUUUUUAUAGAACAAAACCAAAGCAUUUCUAACUGACCCUGCAUAUGCUAAGUGCGACCUCACCAAAGACUCUGUAUGUUUUAGUUUUGCCAAAGUAAAAGCUCUCACAUUGUAUGCAAGGGACUCCAAUGGCUUGAAGCCAUGGAACUUGGGAUAGAUCCAACAAAACCCAAUAACGAUGGAAUAUAAUGAUGCAUCCCUUCACUAAGACAAAGUCCAAUGAAUAGACUCCAUCAAAGACGUAUUAAUCUGAAAGGCCAAGAGCAUCUCCAGCAGUGUAACUAAAACAAUAAUUAAAUUUAGCAAUAAUUAUGAGAUUUAGCUAUUGAUAUAAGAAUUUGGUUCCAACAGUUAUUGCUAUAUGUAAGUUAAAUAAUAUUUUUAACGAAUUAUACACUGACACGUGGAGAAAAAAAAAAAGAAAAUAUAUGUAUUCCUUUAGCAAUUCAUGGCUCAAUUGAUAAAUUUAUCAAUUUCGUUUAGCAAUCCUUAAAUUUAGCAACCAUUUAGGUAUACUGUUGGAGUUCCUAUUCAUCCGAAAAGUUGAUAAAUUUCAAAAAAAUUUGAUUUAGCAAUACUGCUGGAGAUGCUCUGCUAUUUGAGGCAAUUGUUUUAUCCAACUUUCCGGAGGAUGAAGUGCAUUUUGAGUUGGCUCUUUGUGAUGAAUGUGGAUAAAAUAUAAUCUACCUAUAUCUAUAUGUUGACUGUAUCAUUUUUUAUUUACGGAGUCAUGAAGGUGGGCAAGGUCAACAAUACAAAACUAGAGGAAGCCUAGUUCCAGUCAAGAUUGGUAAUUAGUCCUUGGCCUUCAUGCUUGGGAGAACAGAAAUGGAAUUCCACUUUGCUAUGCUGAGUCUGGCAUGAGAACGAGUAGCCGGUCUUCCAAGGAAAAACGAGGCUCGGUCACCCCGAGUCCUGAAGGGUUUGAACUGAACUGGUAUACGGUAUACUUGCAACAUCUACAGAGGCACAGAGCUUCCACAACCGAAAGUUAGGAGUUAAGGUCAGAGUGGGAUAUUUAUUUGGAACAUAGAACGUUCCAACAAUUAUUCCACGAUGAAUGAGGAAUGCAGCGUUCUUGUAUAUGACAAUCGUGAUAUGCACGUUAUAUAAAUUCAUCAAGUAUUGAUCUCCACAACAAAGAAUUGCCGAGGGGUGAGAACUGUGUUACAUAUCACGAUAGACAAUUUCUUUAUUUCAAAGCCAGUUCAUAAUCCAAGAUUUAGUAAAUUGGGGUACAAAAUCCUCUUAUAUUCAUGCCAUAGCACAGUUACUGAAACAACCAAAAUUGAUAAUGCUCGUACAGGAGUAAUCCUAAAGCUAUAUAACCAAUUAUUACACAUUCAUCUUGUCUAACCUUCAUGUGGGCGGUGGCAGAUGUUGAGUAUUAGGUCUUGGGUCUUUGUUCUUCUGGUCUGUGUCGACUAUUUGUGCUUCAACUUUUCUCUCCUCAUCAGCUAUAUCAAGCAUAGCCUGGUCAUGCAUGGUUUUCAUCAUCUGUUUCAUUGUUCUCUCCUCUCCUUCAAGUUGUGUUUUCAUUAACCUCUGAGCCUCUUGGUCGAGUGGCUUGAAGUACUCUUCAAUAGCAGCCUCCUGCACACAAAUGCAUUCAAUUUCGUCACAUGAGACAAAGCUUCAUCAGAGAAGAGCAAACAGAUAGACAGACAAUAAACUACGUAAACAAGAACCAUUUGUUAUAUUGCAAGGAUAAGUAAAUGAUUAAAAUGAACACCAAUGAGAGUUCUGGGGAGUAUGCAUUAUUGAGGGGAUUUUGGGUAUAUAAUUAGCAUGGUGUCAUGCUCAGUUUUCAAACUUUUGAUUGAGCAAGAUAGGUGCAAAAGAUGGAAAAUGUAUCCAGUAUGUGUCCUAGGAUACUGCUUUUAAGAUAUCUAUUUUAAAUAGUAAAAACAUAGAGUUAUCAAAACCCUACUAACAUAAGCUCAUCCCAAAUAAAAUCAGCACUAGCAACAGAACUUACAGUCUCUUCUAGCUGCUUAUUUAAAUUCUGCAUCUCCUCAACCAUACGGCGAACCUCUGACAAAAUAGUCUGCUCAGGAAGCUUUUUUAUAGCCAGCCUCCGCUCUUCUGCCUGAAGACAUAAACACAAGUGCUUUGGUCAUAAAAGAGGUGGGAAAAAGAAUUUUGCACUCGUAGUAUUAAGGCAGGUCUAGUUCGGCUAACGGUGUAAACUAAAGCUAUAAAAAUUUACAGCAACUAGGGCGAGAUAGGAGAUACCAAGUAAGAGAUCCAGUCUAAGAUAUUCAUUCAAAAAUAAAGCCAUAAUGAGCAGCUCUUAGGACAAAGUUGACUAUUGCAAAUAUUAGAAAUUGCAAAAAGAGAACAAUUACAGGUUGCAGAAGAAUUGACAUAGACAAGUCAUUUCCACAAAUUCAUUCACUUCUCUUCAAGGGUGAAACAAUUGAAUUAUCAUACUUGGUGUACAGAAUAAUAUUCGGAUUGCUCCUCUGCAUCUCAAAUCGUCAUUAUUAUGAAGUUAAGUUUUCUUAUCACCAAAGUGGGACAAUACAGAAGGCAAUAAUGAUACCAAGAAAGCAAGAAUGGUCAACAAGUCGAGAGAAAAUAAACACUUAGAGUAACAGCAAGGCUAUCUUUCUUUGUUUAUCUCUCGGCCCACCCUCUUGAUGCAGAUUUUAAGGCUACACAGGACAAGUGAGAAGUUCUUGAGGAUGUUUUAUUGGUCAUUCAUGAAAGUACGAUACAUGUUUAGCCUAUAGUAUACACAAUUAACAGGUGAAAGCAUACUUAUGAAAACUGUCCACCAUUUUCUUAAGUAUCUAACAAGCAGUACGUUAACAAGUUCUUAUUUCUCAACACAUUCAGAAAGCAAUCAAGUUCAGCAUCCUCAUCAUUAUAAAGGCCGCAUAACGUAAGUCCUGAUCAAGAAUCUAAGUUGAACUCGGCCGCCAAAUUGCAGCUGUCUACUAAACCAAAAGGUAAUGCUCAAUUCUUCCGGAAAACUAGCAUACUAAAGCCUAACGUAAUGCACAAUUCUUCCAAAUGAACCUGAGAGGCCCUUAGAACUAGGUUAACAAAAAUAUCAACCGAAUCGGAUACACUUCAAAUGCUGGGAAGCAACUAAUUCGACAUAAUCAAGUAAAGGACUCAUUUCGUUCCAAAAGAAAAGCAACAAAUCUAGAAGAAGAAGAAGAAACCUGUUUGAGACGCUGCUCGCACAUGAGGCGAUAGGAUCGGAUUCUCCGUUCUUCAUAGCCGGAAAGAACCCUGGCGUAGAACAGAGCUUUCCUUCCGAAAUCCAAUAUCUUAUUCAUACUCUUGUCCACCAAUCUGCCAAAACGCAGCGUUUAGAUCGUCAGACGAUAACUAGAUAGGAAUCCGAGAAAUAGGAAAAGAAUCACCGUCAAGUUUUCUGACCUUGGGGAGUAGCUGCCCCGAUGGGAAUGCUGAGCUGACUACAGAGGGGAUUCAGAAUUUGAGACUGGACGGACCGGGGCUUUGUUUGGGCCGAUACAUUUUAUGAAUGCUUUGUUUUGUUUUUUAAAUAGCGACGCUUUGUGUAACAUAACCCGAUAGUGUUCUCUUCUCUUACAUUUUUUACACAAACCGAUAUUCAACUCAUGACCUUAACGUUUAUUAAGACAACUAAUAAACCAGAGCAUAGCUCACCGAUAUAUGGAUGAGCGGACAACAAAAUCACACAAUUCAAUCAAUACUCAAUUCUCUCUGGUGUAUUGAUCAAUGACUAACCAGAUGAACAUUUAAAUUAGUUGAGUCUCUUUAGAAAUUCAGUCAUUAGAAUAACUUGUCGUUUUUAUACUUAGACAAGCUACUCUGCCGGACCAAGACAUUUACAGUCGAUUUGUGAGAAAGUAUCUUUCGAAUUGGUGGAUACAGAUUGAGAAGCCGUCUCUUGGAGUUGCUCAGUUAGUGAUGGAUUUAAAGUACUGAAGUCCUGGUAUACGUUCUACAAGUCAAAAUUUGGGUAAACCAAAGUCAAAAUUUCGGUAAAACCAAAAAACUAAUGCAACAUCUGGGCACCAAUUAGGUAUCACCCAAUGGAGAGUCUAUGGUCUGUCCAUGAAACACUUUCUGGGGUCAAAACUGCCUCAUUUUGCUAUACGGUAGACAGACACCAUCGUAAUCUCAGCAUAUGCACAUACAAACUGUGACCAGCUAAUGAAACACUUUAGGGCACACACUACUAGGACCUUGAGGGCUGUUUAACCCAACAACCCUCAGACGAGUAAUGAUUCCCUUAUUAGUAGAAGGAUCAUUACUUUCAAUUGAGAUAAUGAAAAAUCAUUUCCCUUUUUUACUUUUUGGUUGAAACUUUAGGCGGUUCGCGAUCCUUUCGGCAUGUGCAAUUUAUUUUGCGUCGAUACGCCUUGCUAUUUGUACUUAAAUUCCUUUUAUACCUGGUGCAAUUUAUUUUCCAUCGAUACGCCCUGCUAUUUGUACUUGAAUUCCUUUCAUACCUGCGAUCCAUUCAGCUCAUGCAAUUUAUUUUCCGUCGUGUAUUUGAAAUCCUUUUAUACCUGCUUGCUCAGUUAAUUCAAUAGCUUUUUUCAUGUUCCUGCAGCUCGGAUGAGUAUUCUUGUUUAUAUCGCUACAGCUAUAAGCACUUUCUUUUUCCUAUUAACAAAACAUCCCUUUUUCUUCGCUCUUCCGGAACCGGUAAAGGCGGAACAUCACACCAUGUCUCUCUCAUCGUCAUCACAACAAGGAAGAGGAAACAACUAAACAAUUCUAGUCACUAAAUCAAAUUCAGCAAAAGACAAUUUUCAACACUAAACUUGUCAGGUUUAGGAAGCAGUUUAUAAAAGGUAGCAUUCAAAGUAUCCUGGGAGUGUAGCCAUGCCACAACCAGCAGCACAACUACAAAACCACUACCAGUCUACAACCCACAAAAAGGGAAUAUUAACAGAGAUUAUGAUGUUUCCAAGUUGGUGGACAUAAAACCCUAUUGACAUGCAACUCUUCAUUGUUGCCUCUGUACGCACUCUUUUUGUUAACUACGGAAAAGCAGCUCAAUCCCUCCUUUUCUUCUUCUUCUCAUUCUUUUCAGCAUUCUUCAACUGCAUAAGCAACAAAGAAACCAUUUAGGGUCUGCAAAUUAACGGCGAAAACUGACAAAAGAAGGAAAGCUACUUUGAUACUUACCAUGAUGAUGAGUAUGCGAACAAAAACAGCAAUGAAAUCAGUGAAAAGGGUCAGGGCAUGCUUCACAUAGUCCAGAUCACCGUGGUGUGCCCUCUCAAUCAUCUCCUGGGUGUCAACUACCAUGUAGCCCACGAAAAUCAUAAGGCCAAAAUACAGCUGCAAACAAAAAUAAACAAGUGUUAAUAGCCAGAAAACAUCUCCUUACUUCUUCAAAUGACCAUAGAAAACACUGCAUUAUGAUUCAUUACCUCAAACUCGAAAAGGGAAGCAGAACCACCAAAGAUGGCAGAUACAAAUCGCAACCACAGAAGGAUGGACACGCCUGAAGAGAGCAAGCCCCCAAGAUAAAGGUAUUCUCUGCGCUUCGCCAACGUGGCUGCUGCUGAGAAACAACCAAAGGCCAAAGCAGUUCCCCCAAAGGCACUGAUCAGGAUGCUGUUCAAAAAAAGAGAAAGGAAAACAAACAGAUCAGAAUGGUGUUCAAAAUUUAUCCACAUGUUCGACAGUUUAAGCUACAUGACACAUAAAAAAAAAAUGAAAGUAUACAACACUUGUACUAUCAUUAAAACAAAACAAAACCAAUUGUGUUGUAAGAAAUUAGAUCCCAUAUUUGCAUAGUUUCUUACUCUCAAAGAUAAAAUUAUAGUUCAAUCUAGAGUUACUCCCAAUUACUGUUAAACAGAAAAGUACACAGCAAAAACCUAAUAACAAGUAGAUACCUUGGGUUGAUGUUGAUGGCCAGAUCAAUGAGAGGACCAACCGUAGCCCCUUGAAAGGUUGCAGCCGCCAUUAGUAGAGAAAGUCUCUUUUUCUGUGCAAUAGAAAACAACCAUCAAUACAAAACAUAACACCACAAAAGACAUGACUGAGAAAGCUAAAGAAGGAACAAUCAGUAACUAUACCUCUUCAUAGGUAGGUGUGGAGAGUAACCAGAUAGUACAUCCGACAGUGGCAAGAGUAGUUAGAAGGCCACCGAUGUUCCAAAUAAGAUGCAGGUAAGCUCCAGCAGCCGCACCAACGAGAGCACAACAUAGGGUAAGGUAGACCUGCAAGAAUAAAUCAAAUUAGUGCACAAUUCUAUCAUAACCAUAUGCUAUAGAUUUCAAGAAGCCAAUACAAAAAAUACAUUCAACCAAGGUUAAGCUGAUCCUAAGAACUCAACCACAAAUUAAGCCUCUGAGGAUACCAUGUUUGAAAAAUAAAGCAGAAAAGCUCCACUCCAUUCUGAGUACUAAACCUAUUCAAAAUCUCCUCUACAAGUAAUGUCCUCUGUUCAGCUAUGUUCUUUAAUUCUACAUUUCUACUAAUCUUGGAUGCUAAUUUAUAUAACAAUUAUAUGUAAAGAAACGAACCAAACACGAACAGAAACUCGCAUUCGCAAAUUCCAACAAACACUAGACUGCACAAUUUAUAGAACCAGCACGAUUUUCUCAUCAAACAAAUUAAAAUAAGCAAGAGCAUAAGAAAUUCGUAAACGUAUUUUCAUCUAAUUGCGCAAACGAAACCCUAGAAAUCACAAUCAGCACAAUAAACUCUAACCAAUUGAAGGCGAACAAGAACCCUAAGACGCACAUACAGAUAACGAAUUCACACACGUAUUACGAUCUUCUACUACAAUUUCUCGGUAACCAAACACGGCCGAAACGGAGAGCGAAAUACUGAUCGGAGAAAGAGGCUUACCAGUUUGAGAUGGUUCUGAACGACGGGAGAGAUCUGACGGAAGUUCUUGAGCGACUCGUAAGUCCAGCGGUUCCGUGAAGACGAUUGGGAAUCGAAGAAGGAGUUGAAGGCGUCCAUGGCUUGCUUCGCAGAAAAGAAAUUUGCUCGGAAAAUAAAGUGAAAAAACUGAUGGAGGGGAAUUGGGGAUCGGGCAUUUAUAGAAGGUCUCGUUGUUUGUUACCUGGAAACUUCCAGAUGUUUAAUGACGAUAAUGGCCUUGUGUUGUACAGCACCGAAUUUACGUUUCUGUCCUCGUGGUAUGGAAUGAGAUCCAUGAAAAUUUGCCUAGGAUCCGAAAAACAUAGUUUUUGUUUGGUAGAAAAAAAAAAUUGUAAUAUACAUAACAUCUUGGGGUUGAAUAGGAGAGACUGAGAGAGUUCAUUACUUGGGUAGUUACUAAUAAUGAAUUUGUAUUUUAUAAAUGAUGGUUAUUUUGAGGUCUCGUUAGCAUUUCAAAUUCAUUAUAGAACAUUAUGUCAUCAACAUUGCAAGUUAAAUACGUUAAAACAUUCAACUUUUUAAAUAAUAAACAUUUUAUAACAUAUUUAUUUUGAUUUUAAAUUAAAACACAUGAACUAUAAUCGAAAAUUUCACGAUAUUAUCUUCAAAACUUAGUUAGACAAUUGAAAGACCAUUCGGUGUAGUGAGGCUUCUAUGAGUUGGGUAUUCUAUUUGUCUUAUUUUAUAAAACAAGAUAUGAGUUGGGCUACUCAAGAUAAAAAAAAAUUAGUUGGGCAUUCGGGUCACACCAAAAUGGAGUCGGUAGGGGUAUUUUGGUAAACUUAGCUGAUGGUUCUGGACCUCUCGUGAUUGUUUGACUCGGUUCGACAAUGACGAGCAAUAAAAUCCGGUCUAGGUUUUUCCGCUUCUCGUAGCUUCGGACCAAAGAAAUAUCUAACAACAAAGCCCCACCAAUAAAACCCUGCCACGUCAAGGUCAUGACAUUGUUUGCUCUGAUUGGUCAUAAUCAAUCCUAAUUUGCUUACAAUAGUCAAUUACCACCUGGUAUAAUUAUAUGUUAAGAACUAAGCAUUGACUAUAGCUAGUCGUUGUCUUAACAAUCAUUUUCCUAUUCGUUUUGGUAAAAGUACAUGUUAAUCGUGAUCAACCGUAAUGUAACAUGAAGUGGAGAGUAGAGGACACACUACUGAAAUGAAAUUCAUACCCGAACUUUGUAACACUUUUGACAAAAAAAAAAUUGUAACAUUAUUCUUUCCCAGGCCCGUUUGAGAGCGGACGUCACUCCGUUCUCCAUCCUCCGACGCGCCUCCAUCUCAGAAAACUCCAAUAACGUCCUCGACCACUUUCCCUCCCCGGCGAGUCCGUUCUUUUCCAGUUUUCCGAGGAGAUCACCCAAAAUUUCAAACAAGAUCGAUCUCGUCGGAAAACUAGAAAAGAACGGACUAACCGGUGAAAGAAAGUGAUCAGAGACGCUGCUAGAGUCUUCUGGGGUGGAGGCGCGCUGUCGUCGGCGCCGGAUGGUGAAGAACGGAGGGACGUCCGCACUUUAAGCCGAGUGCGGACGUCCGCUUCUGAACGGCUCCGAUUCUUUAACAGCUUAAACUUUAACGCUAUAAAUACACAUCAACGUAAGCCUAUAUAGGAAGAAACACCUCCUAGAAAGAUCCUUCAGAAGUACAGGACAUAAUCUCUGAUUCUGUUAUGUUAGUAUUUACAAACGUUACAAGUUGCAGAAAGAAUGCAGCAUCAUAUAAAGCUUAACAAUUAGAAUGGAAUUUACCAUGAUUUGUUAGCUGAUUAAGCCUUCAUUUGAGACAUUGUUAAUUGGCUUGGUGAUGAACUGAUGAUGCCUUGUCCAUGUAUGGAGCAAUCACCAAUUCACCUUCUAUUCUAAAAUGCCAGCUAUGAUACCAACCUCUGAAGCUUGUGCUUUCUCAGUUCUUCAUGGCAUGGAGCGAAAAACUCAUGUUUAAGCGCUUCCUCUGCACUUAUUCUAACCCUAGGAUUCACCAUUAAGCAUUUAUCCACAAGAUCGAAAAGUGGUCUUGGGAUUUCCUCAAAGAAGUCUGGUCUCCUUGUAUUCUUUCUGCACCAAUCCUUUACUUUAAUAGAGGGCAAACAAUCUGUACUGUAGAGCUCCUGUGAGAAAAGAAUAUUUCACAGUUCAAUAUAUCUUCUGAUGUACACUGCAGUGAAGUAAAAAACAGAUUUGAAUGAUAAUUACCGCUGGAAAUGAGGAUUCGCGGUCGUGUAGCUUGGCGACUUCCCAUAAGUCUUCACUGCCUCUCAGCUUUGCAAUAUCCUUGAUGUUCCUGGUAAUAAGCAUAGUAUGAUUGGCAAAAUGUAAAAACAGAAUGCAAAAGACAAGUACACAUAAAUCUUAAGAAAAAAAAACAAGGAUAUUUGGAUUUACAGUUCAGGUUCGCCAAGGAAAGGUGUUCUGCCAAUCAACAAGUAUAGUAACGUGACUCCGGCAGACCAGAUAUCAACUUUGGGGCCCUGAUGAGGAGAUCUUAAGAGAACCUGCAUAGACCAUGGUCAAUACCCCCAUCAGUCCAAGGAAAAAUUUCCAGAAAUGAAACUCAUGCUAAAUGCUGUAAGGUUUCAUAAUUUAUAAAUAUUUACUAAUUCUCUAUAAACUGGAACCUACUUUCCCACAUAAUCCAUCAAGAGUCAAAACUACACUUUUACAACAUAACAUAAUGUAGUAAGAAGGGUAUGAGUCAUUAGCAACACAUCCACCUACUUGUUUCUCCUGAAGUGUAUUUUGGGAAAGGAAAAAAAAAAGCACGGUAACUCUCGGCAUAUAUUUUUAUUUUUUUUAAUAGGGGUAACUCUCAGCAUUUUAGCAUACAUAGUUGGCACAAACUCAUAUAUGUUGGAUAUACUUAAGACCGUUGUUUGUUGUAAAUAAUCAUAAUCAUAAAUGUGCUUGCAACACUAGUGUUGUGGAUAUAAAGAUAGAAAGCAAGGCGAUUAUACAUUAUUAAAUGUUUAUUAGGAAAAAACCUGACCUCUGGAGCCCUGAAGCCUUUAGUCCCAGCGCAAGGGCCUUCUUUAUGUUUUCCAGAACCUAAGAAACAAAAUUAAUACGAAAUUUUUAGGAAAGAAAAAUGUUUAUUCGAACAUAUUGAGAAAACUACUAAAAAGGAACAAACCUCUGCUUCUUAUCAAGCAUGGACCACCAAAACCAUUGGAAGUUGAGUGCAUAGGCAUUGGAGUGACAUGGAAAAACUUGCCAUCGACAUUUACGGGAGGGGCAGGAACCCUCUUUCUCAUAAGAGCUGAAAUACUUGACGCCUCAUUAUUUGUACUUUCCCUUGCUUCCUGUACUAGAUUGAUCAAUUCUUUCCUUCCUUGGCAUGGCAAAGGUUCUCUCAUCCUUUCAGCCGACAGAGUCCUGGUGCUUGUAACAUCCUUUACUGACGUUAUGCCUGAGCCAUCUGCACCCUGACUUUUGAUUACCUUUCUACUACCCGAAUCUUUAUUUACCUUCAUUUGGCUGAAAGCCAUUUUCUUUAGAUCCUUCAUAUCAAAAGUGGAUUUCAAACCUUUUGAGGUCUCUCCAUUGGCUGUUAGUAAAGAUUUACCACUUGGCAACUUCCUAAGUGUGAUUGGAGGUAUACUUUUUGCAGUCAUAAGCUUCUCAUCACUGUUUACAUCAAAUCCCCCUCUUGACUUACCUGUGGGAUUUUAAAAUUAGUUUCGCCAUGUUAUAAUCUUUAACGCCAUAAAUACUAAGACCAACAAACACCAGAUAAAAAUAGUUCCCGGACUCUAUGAAUGAGAGAGUGAGGGACGGGUGAGAGAGAGAGAGAGAGACUGUUAAAAGAGAAAAUGCAUCAGAUUUAUAGCCUAGUGAUCAAACUAAUCUUAACUCUUGACAAUCUAUUUACUCAAUAACGGAAAAAAAAUCCAAGUCCAAUAACUAAAACCAUGUCAGCAGAAAAUCUAGAUACACAGAGGAAGAUGAAAGCUUACUAAUAUUUCCAUACUUCUGAUGCAAGUCCUGUCAAACAACAAAAUACAAAUGAAACACAAUUAGACAGAUAAGUAAAUUAGUGACAAACUAAUAAGACCAUUAAAUACCAAUACAAGUAAACUAACCAUGGAUAGAUUGAAAUCAAUUAGGUAGCCCUUGUUGGCCUUACGAGAGAAAAGGAAAUUGCCGGGUUUAAUAUCUCUAUGUACUAUUCCCUGGAAUACAGAAAUAUACAUUAUAAAGAAACUUUUACUAAAAGAUCCAGAAUCCAAAUAGAACAUACAUAGCAACUGUGCCUACCUGCUUAUGAAGGCUAGCAAGUGCUCUAAACAAGCAAUAUCCAUACCACCGGAGCUCACGGACAUCUAUCUCUCUCUUUAAAACCUAAAGAUAAUACCAACAUAAAAAAUAAGACCAAAAAGAUCUGUCUUACUUAAAAAAAAAAUAAAAAAAAAAGGAAAGAAGAAGAAGAAGUAAAGUGAACUGAAGAGAAUUAAACAAGAAGUCAUCAAAAUGUCCAAGGUUACCUCUGGUCUAUCAUGCUCAACAUGCUGUAAUACAAAGCAACUUGAAUUCCCAUUCUUGAUACAGCCUUCAUAUUUGAUCACAAAAUUUCUUCCCCUGAUUACAAAUUUACAAGGAAAUAAGAAUCUACACAAAAGCACAAUGUAUUUGCUCAAGUAAAACUUGUAAACUACUUACCCAAACCUUUCCAGCAUUCUCAACUCGUUGUUAACAUGGCUCUUAUGAGCAUUAGCAUGUGGACCUGCAGAGCCAUUAUAGAAAUUUCAGACCAGGAACUACAAUUUGGGUUGAACUCUUAAGCCUUAGAUCAGGCAGGAUAGAUAUAUGUCUCACUUACACUUAAUGGCAACCCUUGUCCUGUCAUUCUUACUCCUCGCCCUGUAAACAGUACCAUAACCACCUACAAGUUCGGGAAAACAGCAAUUAAUAAAUCGAUUUAAUCCACAACAAAAACAGCAGUCAAGGAUACUAAUCUUCGAUAUCUAAGAGCUAUACAUACCUGAACCUUCUUCUUCUUCUACCAUAUAAGAAUCAAAAUUUGGAAAUUCUUUUUUCUCUGGUUGAUCCUACAAAGCAUUAGACUUAAGAUCAUCAAUAAAAGCAUACUUGCAGUUAUUGACAUUAAUUUUAAUGAAUGCCGCAUACCUUAGAAGAAAUAGAUUUGUAUCGUCUUUUUCUUUCAUUAAUAUGCAUGUCACCACAAUUCUGUUUUGAUUUGUGUACCAUGCUAUUUGUCUUCUGAUCCAAUUUAUGGUGAAGGCUCACUUUGGAAGUGGCAACGGCCUGAUCCUGCUCUAAAUUACAGCCGUAUAGAGAUUGCAGUCUUGAAGAGAUCUUAUCCGUGUGAAUGACCUUAAUUGUUGCAGAGGACUUCAGCAACUGCUUUUGAGGAACAUAGAAUUCCUUGGCUGGACAUGUGUUCUGGGCCUCAUUUCUUGUCAUUAGACUUUUACUAACAUGUUUUGUAACUUCGAAAUCCUCCUUAUUCGAUUUUCUGAUUUCAGUUCCAGGCAGCUUAUCAGAAACAGCAGUGUAUGGCUGAUAUAGACUUUCUGCUUCUCCAUUAGGGUUGUGUGGAUCUACUAACAAUUCUUCCUCCGAAUCUCCCACAACUCUUUCAUCUUCAAGGACCGAACAAUUUGCAACUUUGCAAUUAACACUACCAUUCUCAUCCAGCACUGGUGACGUAAUGGUUUUUUUACUUUUCUCUAGGUAAGAUUUGGCCAAGCUAUCUAUCUCAUAAAGUACUAAAUCUUCUGACACUGUUGGAACAGUUGGCUCUAAAUCAUCUACACAGGCCAUAACUGUUUUAUUAACAUUCCUUUGCAGAGUUAUAUCGGUCUCCAUUUGAUCUUCUACAUUCCCAAUGUUCUUCACUCCACAACUAGAUGGCCCAGCACUAUCUUCAAUAAAUAAUGGAGAACUGAAGAUCGAUUUAUCCAACCCCACAGCCACAUUACUUGGUAGCAUACUUAUUCUUCUGCUGAGAUAGUCAGUCAUAUGAAAAUGUAUCUGCGAAAAAAUGACCUGAUUUAAAAGGUGUCCAGAAAAGCAACUUUGCUUGGUUUUACUUUAAGCAUGCAACAAAUCAAAACUCUUUUAACAUGAAUAGAGAAGCCGAAAACCUCAAAAUUAAGUGUGCUUCAAACUAAAGGAAAAGGACAGAUGCACAGACACAGCGGUUUAACCAGAUAAUGCAACUAAACUUGCCACGUUUAUGUAACUUAGAAUAUCAAUCACUCCGAUUAACUACUUUUCGUCAAACUCAGGCCACGACUCUUCGAAUGACAAAACACGGGAAAAGAAAGCUGUUCAUAUUGCCAUGACUAGCUGGACUAAUGAGGAACAUUAAAUUUAUAUUAUAGCAAAAAUCAAAUAAUCUAAGCAAAUUCUAACAGCUGUAAAAGUCAUUACCAUGUUUUCCUAACCAGAUAAAUAGGAUCUCAAAACUAAUGCCCAAUUUCCACUAAUUUUUUCAACAUUUCUGGACUAACAAAACAAAAUCAGGCAGAUCAUAUAAAUAUUCACAACUACAGAUGCUAAACCACUCGAUCAUACCUUCGGAGGAAUACAUAUGACUGAUUUCCGCGCUCCAUUAUCGUCAUUUACUGCAAUCAAUCCCACAAUUACCAAUUAAACUCAAGUAAAUCGGACAAAAUUAAUUAAUCAAAGUAAAAAAGAGAAAGCAACAAUUUACCGUUUUCAAAAUCCACAAUCAAUCUCCGUUUAGCCGAGGUCACAAAUCCGCAAUCCAAAACGAGGCGUUUUCUCUUCCCUAAGUUCGUUCUCAGUGCGCCGUCGCCGCAGGAACUAGAGACGGACUCCGCCAGAGCGGUUACGGCGAACAGAGACGGCGUGACGUGGAGAUCUUCGGACAAGGAGAUUGGCGAAUUAGCGACGGAGCAAAGGCGUUGGACCAAAUGAGCGGUUGCGGGGAACGCCGUGCAUCGAGCGGCGAGCUCGAAGGGGCGGGUCCGGCGGCCGAGAGAUAAGAGGAGGGCGAGGAGGUGCCAGGCCUUGUCGGAGUCGGAGAUGGUUGAGGCGGUGAGGGCUGAGUCGAGUGGGGUAGUUGCCAUGGCUGAGAUUUGGAUCGCAGAGAGAGAGAGGUGGAAUUGGGGGGGGGGAAAGAGAGGCGGGCAAUGUGUGGGACACGUGUAGGGUUUGAGAUUGAGAGCGUCACGAGUUCCCGCCAUUAUUUUUUUUCUAAUUUUGAAUUUUAAAAUGUUGUGAUGGACCGAAGGUGCUAACGUUUUGAACCACCAUCGAAAAAAUAUAUACAUAUAAAAGCAGUUUUUUUUUCUUUCUUUUUUACAGUCUGGAAUCUGAUUUUUUUUUUUGAACAAAUUCUGGAUUCUGAUUAAAAUGUAGUUUCUAUUCAUAAUCUAAAAAAAUUUGUAAAUUGCUUGUUAUGCUUAUGUGCAUCUUUUUCAUGACGGUAACAAAACACAGAAAAGACCUAGCGACAAUAUCAGGGCAUAUAUACUUCACCAAUUUUUGAUUUGUUAAACAAAAACAUUAGUUUUCUUUUAUGAAAGUAUGGCAUGAAAUCUUUGCACUAUCACGUGAAAUGAAAUAAAAAUUAACAAGCUGUGUUAUAAAUUAGUGAUUUUCGUUCUAAAUGGAAAACUAAGACGCAGAGUUACGUAUAAGGGGUAUAUGAUUGUUUCAGAAGUUAAAUUCAUAAUGUGCGUAGUAUUGACAAGGUAUACAUGUUCAGGAUUUAAAAGCAUUCAACCUUGGCCUUAUAUUGGCAUGUUUAAUAUAUAUUGAUGAUAUAUACAUGGAUUGAUUACUGCUCAAUAUUAGUUACGUUCAUGCAUUUUACACGAUUAGCUAAGAAACAAAAAAAAUAUGUUACGAGCAUCAUAUAAUAUCAUACCAAUUGUAUGAUUAUUUACCAUAUGUUCAACAAAAAUGGUGUGCUUUUGAUAUAUUUAGAUGUCAGAGAAAUCUAUAGCCAUAGAUGAUAUAUACACAUUUUGAGAUAUUGAUGGUAACUAAUAAAUUUAAGACUUUUUUUUUUUAGGUAAAAGGCUGGUGCGGCUGCCCUCAAACCUUGAUUAAUGAAACUGUCGAAUACAAAAACGGGGAGGAGGGGGGGGGGUAACAUUGAGCCUAAAUCCCUGAUUACAAACAUCUGAACUAAUAUCAGAAGUUUUUACAAACAUGUACUCAACUAGGCACCGAUUAGCAAAUAGUGCUCUAUUUGCUUUAACAUAAUGGUGACAUAACGAAAAAUUAACUCGACUACAGUGAAACAUAAUUCCCAUAAGCACAGCUUUCCUUCUAUGUUGCCGUCGGAGGAUAAAUCCGAUGACACUUAGCUUCACCCUGCCAUUAGGUGGCAUCGAUCAUUUGACGAAACAAGAAACUUACUGCAUACCUAGGGCAGACAUAUUCCCGCUACUAAGAGGUUGUGACCAUGUGCUAAUGCAUGAGAUUCACAACCAAAUUAGAGUGGACAAGGCACAUAGAAUGUAUGCACCUAUUCCUACCGAAUAACGAUAGGAAUUUAUUAAAACAACUGAAACAACAAAACAACUAACAAGAUAACACAAACACACAGCAGAACUGGCCCAACCACUCAGCCCAAAAUAGGCCCACUUCCAAGCUGUGACUAAGAAGCCCAACAUUGACCCACAGCCCAAAAUGGCUUCCACAUAACCUACACCGUCCAAACCUUCUCGCCUCGCCGACCGUCGAGCCACCGCUGCUCUCUGGCUUGAACUGCUCCACCGCCGACAAACCAUCACUAGAAUAGCAUCCUGAUCCCCACCUCCCAAACCUUGACAGUCCGACUGCAAACCUUAGCAAAUUCAUCUUCCGACUCGCUUCCAAUCUUCAUCGGAUCUUUGGCGGAUCACGCUCGGAAGCACCAAUGGAAUCACAAUCCGGAUCAGAUGUGAGGAUCUCGUGCCACACAAUCGGCCGCCACCACUCUUUGCAAGAUCUAUCCAUGUGCAGUCACCGCCUUCGACUGAAGGCGCUAUAGAAUGGGCUAACUCAGCCCCUAGCCACCGAUCACCAAGCGAAAACUUCGCCAGCAUCCCGUCUAGCCAUAGUCGACUCACGUCGGCGAGGCUAGUGCCAACGCAGGCAUGGCAACGAGGCCGGACGAGAGGACUUUUCCUCUUAGGCCAUGUUUGUUUCAUGGAAUCAAACUAGUGGGAAAGAAAAGUCUUUAUUUUCUUGUGUUUGGAAACCUAAGGAAAAUAGGGGGAAAGGAAAUUGGUUCCCAAUUGUAAGGAAAAUAGAUGGGAAAGUUGUUCCCUCCACCCAACCCAAUGAAUCACUUUCCCUCUCAAUUUCUUGCAAUUAUUACACCAUUUUUUUAUUAAAUUGACCCCACUAAGUUAGUGUUUACCAUUUUUAACCACAUGUUUUUUUUUUUUUUGAAAAUUAUAGGAUUUUAUUUCCUUUCCUUAUGAGUACCAAACACUUGAAAAGAAAAUAAAUAGGAAUUAUAAUUUCCCAUGGUAAUGGAAAAUGCAAAGAAUUUGGUUCAUUUCCCUUCCUUUCUAUGAAUCAAACGAGACCUUACGGUUUUCUUCUCCUCUCUCGCUCUUUUGCGAUUUUUUUGGAUGAAGUUUUAAAAUUUAAGACUUUUAGUUUGUAUAAUUUUUUUAAUUACAUGCAACGAGGAUUGUUGCUUACGAGUCGCUUCAGGGGACUCCUACAAAGACGAAUCACAUGGUAAAAGCUCAAUUGUUUAUAUAGACCAGGAAGCAAACAUGAGCUCUGACCAAAGACUAUAGGCAAACAAUAUUGGAAAGAAUCUUGUAAUCCGUUAUUAAUUAAGAACAGACGGACUUUACAUGAUUGAGAGGUACAAACAUGGUCAUAGUUAGGAUUAGAUAUUAGCCUAAGCUCAUCAUAUUAGAUUGGGCUAAUAUACUAGAGCUAGGUGGCGUUUAGGCUACUAAAUAAAUUACAUUAGACAAAUUACAGAGAGUUUCCUGGGCUACAGCCCUGCUAGAUCCCUACCAUCCUCUGUGAAAGACUACAGUGAGGAGAAAGAUUACGUUUGUGUUCACAUGAGAAACACAAUACAUGUAUGAGCAUAAGACACAAUCACCAUUUGCAACGUUAUAAAUAAACGAUGAAAUGUUAAUUAGCAAGUAUCUUUUAUAUCCCAUAUGAAUGUAGUUUGUUUCAGAAUCCAUAAGGACUUGAAUAAGACCUUUUUGGUGUGGAUAGAUGUAAGAUGUUGCAUGUGGAUCAGAGACUAAUUUGAGGCCAUUGUAUAUACUAUAUAGAUGUGUCUGCCUCCUUCCCCACCAAUAUUCCACUCACCAGACCCUCAGCUAGCUAGCAAUGCCAGGACCCUGAUAAGCUUUUAAGACGCUCUUAAAACACUUGAUAGUAGUUGUCUCAGGUCUGAAUAUACUACUGCCUUGUCCAUUAAGUAUAACAGAGCAAAUGAUGGUAUAGCACCACCUCUAAUACUUCUCAUGAACUAAUUAGAAACCAUAAAACUAUUGAGCUUGAAGAGAACUGACCUGCAGUACCACCUAGACGGAUCAAGAGAGCAAAUGUAUAUUCUCAGUUCUCAAACAAUAGUCAUAGAUAAUUUCGAAGACAAAGUUCUACUUGGAGAGGACAACUGAACAAAAGACACAAAAUCUAAGCAUUACUUAUCAGUAUACAUAUAUUACAGACAAUGAACACCAAAAUAGGUGCUAAAAACUACUUCAAAGAGCCGAUACAAAUUUGACGUAUGAUGAUGCUUGGUUUUCUUUUGUAAUACGGCCAAAAUGUAGACUUUUGCUCGAGAGUACAAGGUACCACCUACAUGUUGAGAUUGGACGUCUCACUAUAGUGAACUCUAUUUGUUAUCUCCAGUAAAUGAAGAAGCUUCUUCAGACCUUAGUAUCAUCGUUGAUCACUUAAAAGUGGUUGGUACACAGGAGCUACAGGAAUAGAAAGUAAAGAACAGAGGAAAUUACCAGUGUGUUCAACCAAUAUAAACGUUAUUUUGUCAAAAGGUGAAAGAAAAGUGGUCUAUGAAGAAGUAAUAAACUAAUAAUACUCGCUUCUUAGAGUCAAAAUCGGAACUGAACCACAUAACACAUCAAAAACAACACACAUGUCAAAAUCUCCAGAUAGGUAGGCUUUUAGAAGCAUUCUUGACAUCUUUUAUAAAACCUACUUAACUACAGCAACAACUUAAAUUCACUAAACCCACCCAAAGUCCAUCAAAAUCAGUAAAGGCACAAUAAAAUAAAAUAAAUCAUGAUUCAUAAACUUUGAACAGGCAUGACAGAAUACCUAGAAACUUUAUCAGAAGGUUCAUGUAUGUUAGAUGGAAGUAUGGAACUAUAAAAGUUAAAUGAUGUAAUCCAUACAUGAAUCAUGUGCUGAGCACUAACACAAAUUGGUUGAGCCAAGUGCUUAAAACCAUAUUGGUUGCUCCACCUAGUAAUAUGAGAUUUUGGAUUUGAUAUUUCAACAUCUGCUGAAGCAUGCACUUCAUUUGCAUUGCAACAGUUUGGCCAUAAUGUGCAAAUUAUUAGCUUAAAAAGGAUCACACAUAAGGAUCUUGGUCACCUAAAUAAGGCAGUGGUAUCAUUAGUAUGAGUGUAUGACCACCUAACCGGGAAUACUUGAGACUAGUUCACAUUGAUUGACUAAGCAACUAAGGGAUCAUCCAGUCAUUUGACAUAAUUAUUUCUUACAAGAUAGAUUGGCCGAAGAAAGGAGAAUGAGUUUGUUUAUGCACAUAUAUCCGUUCCAAGAACAUAUAAAUGAACAUAUAAGAAAAAUUACCUCCAAAAUUGUGUCGCCCACUGGAUACAGGCGGUUUGCAAGUCUUCUCUGAAAUUUCAGAGAUAACCAAACGUGAUAGCAGAAGCCCCGCUAUAAGAGCACAAACCAUUAGCAUCACAAAUACUGCAUCCCAUCCUAUUGUUGAAAGGAAACCAGUAAGAAGAGGACCGAAAGCAGCACCAACUGAUCCAGUACCAUCAAUGAUGGCAGUAACUGUUGCCAGUGCUCUAGAGUCACCUCUAAGCGAACUGUGUGUGCCAAGGUCUGCAGAAACUGCAGUAGUGAUAAGUGCAUAGGGCCCAUUAAUAAACAAUCCAGCAACCAUCAUAAGCAAAAUGUUGAUAUUGUGUGAAAUACUCCCAUAUCUGCGAUACAAAAGCAUUGCUGGAAUUGCAGUAUACAUGAAGCAGGCUGCUGUAGUAGCUCGAGCAUUAAGUUUAUCGGAUAUGUAGCCUGCAAGGAUUCCACCAACUAUGCCCCCAACAUCAAACAAAGUAGAGAGAUUACCAGCAGAUUUCACAUAAACAUACUCUCCUCCAAUUUCUGCACACAAUAAGGGGAACAAGGUAGGACCUUAUAUCAGAUACAGUAGUUAAAUAAUGCCUACAAAUUUCAAGUAUGGAGAAGUCCUUUAGGCUUUCAUGGGUGUUUCCAUAAAUUUGCUAUUGAAAUUUAUAGUGAAUAUUUUCCUAUAGCAGCAAGGCCUCUAAAGAACAACAAAACUAAGGACAGUGAAAUACAUAGUUUUUAAUCCAACCACAAAAGUACAAACAAAUUCAUGCAUAUACCGAUAAGGGAUCAUCAGAGUGAUAUUUAACUUUGAAGCCUCAUUUACAUAGCCCCUAUUGGUGUUGUUACUCAAACAUGGUUGCCAAACUACGGUGUACUAAUAGGUGCCGCGAAACUCAGUGUAAGCUAGAAAUCUUCUGAGGCAGUAGACAAAAGACAUACUAGAUCGCUAAUUGUUUAAAACUAGAUUGUCAUGUAAAAGUUCAUAACAUACUCUUAUCUCUAAUUCAGUAAAGGUUUUAUGAAAGUUUAGCUAUCAAGGUUUUAUGAAAGUUUGGUGAAAUAAUUUAUUUCUCUUGAGAACUUGUUUCCUUAAACAAACACACAUAAAGUAAUCGCAUUGCCCGUAGGACUGAUUACAACAAGACAUAUGGAUUGAACCUACUAAACUAGUCAUUAUCUGAUAUAUACAAUUAUUUUGGGCUUAUAUCUAGAGAAAUGCUAACCAUAGUGGACCAGUCUUCUGCCAACAUUACUCUUGACUACGAAUCAACUACCCUGAAUACUUGCAACUUUCUAAAUCUUCUUAUUCUAAAAUGAAGCAUAGAAGCACAUACGAUAGAAAAGAGAAGACUAUAAUCUAUCUCAGAUACUACACAUCCUAUGAGUUCAAGUUAUAUCAGCAAGUAUAGGGCCAAAAACCAAAUAUGGCAAUCGAGGUAUAUAAAAAACUGUGAGGGAUAGAUUACCUGUCUGACUUAAAUAAAACGGUAGCCAGUACAGAAAUGUGUAGGCUACAAGCUUUGCAAAGAAGAGGCAUAACGCAAAGGGUAUAACUCCUGGUAUGGCACAAGCUUCAAUAAGACCAACACCUGUCCUUGUCACAGACCCAGCUCUUGACAUAUUUGUUUCACUUUCCACCUGAAUUCCUUUUCCCAUAUUUGCUUCUUCAUCAGCAGGAACUGCCUCCAAACUUGAAGCUGAACCGUGUGGACUAGAAAAUCCAAUAUCCUCAGGAUAUGCAGGCAAGAACAAGAAAACUAGUAUUCCUGCCAAUGCAAUAAACGCACCAGGAACUAUAAAACACCAACCCCAACCAUAGUCCAGAACGCCAGCAGCAAGCAGCGAGCCACUAAUAUUCCCAACUGAAGUAUGUGCAUUCCAUAUCCCCAUUAUCAAACCCCUCUUCCCCUUUCCAAACCAAUUCCCAAUCACCGCAACAACAGAAGGCCAACCUGUUGCUUGGAACAACCCUGCAACCAUUUGCAUUCCAAGAUAGAAUCCAAACACAUGAAUGUUCCAAAAGUACCCCAUCCCAAAUAGCGCAACGAAAACACCACUCCCAACCAUCCCGCAUGUCAAGAACAGCCGAAGGUCCAGCGUAUCGCCCAAAUGCCCAGCAACAUACAUUCCUAGAGAGUAACAUGCUAGAAAUGCAACAUCAAUCUCACCUAGCUUCGUCGUCCCGUCCUUGCUAUUAAAAGGAGCCCAGCCCUUGUCUAUCAACCUAUGACGAUGAUGACUCGCAUUCCCCAUAUAAUUUGUCUUAACAAACACCUGGCCAAGCCAGGGGAGGACCAAGCCAUUGUCCUUAUUGGUGGGUUCAGGAUACAAAACACUCUUAACUAUACUACUGGGUUUUCUUGAAGCAUGGUAACUAGCAUAAGCUACAAAUGUAAGAAACAAAACCACAUAUCUAUAUGUAGAAAACCUCCAAUCUUUUCCUCUAACGCUUCUAAUCAACAAAAUCCCAGGUGGGGUUCCUCUCACUGUAUCAAAAUUACUAGCCAUCCUUUCACUUCCUCAAAACACCAAACAAAACCCAAACCCAGAACAACCCUUUCUUUCUAGUCACAAACGUUGCACCAUCCUCAUGUCAUACCAUGCCACAUUCAUCUCCCAAAUCCAAGCAACACCCAGAACGCAAAACCGUGACUUUCAUACGUCAAAGUAAUGAAAAACAGAGAGAAGGAGCCUUACUGGAUUGGACGGCCGGCCAUGGUGGUGAUUGCGAGCCAAAGUUUUACCGGCUUCUAUUGGGGAGAGAGAAAAAAGAAAAGAAAAAGAGAGUGAGGAAAAGCGAAGAAGACGGAGGAGACGUAGAGAGCAAAUGAAGGAAGAGGGAGGACACGUGGCAGAGUGGGAGAGCAUUUGUUGUUUGUAUUUACUGAGACUUUGAGGGCGCCGCGACGAUUGAUUGUGAUAGGGUGAUCGACCGGGGGUUUUAUUGAAUAGAGUGAGAGGACGCGUGGCGGGUUUUGGCGGGUGCUUGGAGAGCAUGAAUCACGCAAGAUUACAAAUAUAUAGGAGAUGAUCGAGUUCUUGGGAAAAAGUGAAGAACAUGGUCAUACAUGGUGACAACGGCAUUCAUGGAAUCAUGGUCAUGAGUCAUGUUGAUCAUAUAUAUUUAUAUGUAGGAAGUUUCAUCAAGUAGACCAUGAACCAGAUAAGUUCUAACGACACUAAACCAUAAAAACAUACUGAUUUCAUCAACACAAAUUCAUUUAUAAUUCUAAAACAUAAUGGAGCUUGGCUUGCUCCUACAUUGUCACCUAUCAAUAUUUCUAGUUUCGUGAUUGACAUUUUCUUCAUCAACUUAUCCAUAGCCUCUAAUUCAAAUUAUCAACAUCACUCCAAUACAACUCAACUCAACCGAAUCAGUUUUAGUCUUCUUUGAUCCAUGCCCCUUCCCACAAGAUUCUCCCAUCAACUUCCUCUUAAGAACUAUCUCAAAGAUAGCUAGUAUUGCCUUGUCAUUUCUUUUAAAGUAGCCACCAAUAUGCAUUUUCAAUGUUUUGUGACUGACACCUUAUUCGUGUUCGUUUUUGAAAACUCCCUAGUUGUGUGUUUGAGACUUAGUCAAACAGAACCUCAAUCAAAAUACGCAUUUCAUAUAAAUUUCUGUCCUUUUCACUUAACAAACUUAUAAAACUAGAGAAUUUUGAUAUGUUACGUUAUUUGAGUAUCUUAAAUAAGCGUAGCUCAUGCAAUUUGCUCAACGUAUUGUUGUUAAAUGCGUCAAAACUCCUUUUAUAGCUAUGAUAGCACAACCUUAGCUAGAUCUCGUACACUAAUCUUAGUCAUUUGGCUCCAAAAUAGAUCAAGUUGGCUUAUUUUUCCAUUUACAAUCAUAUACAAAAUUUUAUGUAUUAUUUAGGUGUCUAAAAUGUACGUAAUUGUGAAACCUUGAUGUUUUCUUUUCAAACAAUAUUGAAUCACGUGAAAAUCACGUGACCAUAAGAUAGAAACAGAUAAGAGACCUUUGUCUUCCUCAGAGCUCUGGUAAUCCAUCCACACUCCCAUGACCUCUCCUCUCUAACUCCUUCUCUCUCCCUCCAACUCUUCAUUCCCACAAACCCUAAUUCCCCUAAUCAUGGGCUCCAAGGUCCUUCCUCAGGUACUCUCUCUCUCUCUCCUUCUCUCUGUACAUUGAUUGUGUACGUGUGCCAAUUCUCAGAAUGAAAUGAAUUUGAAUUUUCUGCAGGCUCUGCUAACAAUCCCAAGAAACCCUAACCACUACGCGCCGGUAAAGCUCGGGUUGUCUCGUCGCCCUUCCUUCUGUUCCACUGGCGUUUCGCUCUGCAAGGCUUCUUCGAGCUCAGUCAGGUCCAAAUUCAGCCCCAUUGUCGCCGCAAAGUCCAGACGGGACUUUGCUGUGAGAGCCGAGUCGGAAGGUGAGGUGGGAGCCACCGAGAAUGAAGAAGCUGUUGGUGAACCGGCUUCAGAGGCCGUAGUGGACGCCGAAGCAGGAGCAGCUCUGGAGACUGAGCCUGAGCCUGAAGAGAAGAAGCCGCCGCGGAAGCCUCGUAUCAAGCUCGGCGAUGUCAUGGGGGUAACUUAUUCAAUCAAUCCUUUGCCUUUUUCGUUUUCGUGUAGUUUAGAACGAGGGGUUAUAAAUUGGGAGUGAUAUAUGUUGAUGAUAUAACGUGGGAUAGAAUAGGACAUCAAAUUCGUCCCAUCGCAGGAGAGACAUUAGCUAGUAAUGUAGUAUCUGAUAAUACAGAUUAAAUGUAGUUUCGGGGUAUGCAUUGUCAUCAGUUGUUUUGAGUUGGAAUAUAGACUAUUAAAGUGCUUAGUUCUGAUGGUUGUAAACCUGUAUCUUUGUUUGAUUCUUGAAAAUUUAGAUAAUGUUUGACUCAACUGUUCUGUUUGUGUAGAUACUAAAUAGCCGGGCAAUUGAUGCGGCAGAGAAGGAAAGGCCAGUUCCGGACAUUAGGAGUGGAGAUGUUGUGCAAAUUAAGCUGGUAAUUUGUGUUUAUGAUUUUUUAUUUUUAUUUUCCCUUCAGAUUUUAUACCAUUUCAAAGUGUAUGUUUUGUGAUCCUGUGUAUGUGUAUGGGCUACAGGAAGUUCCGGAAAACAAGCGUAGGCUGUCUAUCUAUAAAGGUAUCGUUAUUUCAAAGCAAAAUGCUGGCAUUCAUACAACAUUUCGCAUUCGGAGGAUUAUUGCUGGUGUAGGGGUUGAGAUUGUUUUCCCUCUGUAAGUUCUAUUUCUGUGUACUUUGUGUUCACUUGAUUUGGUACUUUGUACACAAUUCCCUUUAUUCUAAUGUCAUCAUGCUGAAAAACAUAACACAGAGAAACUUUGUCUGGGAUAGUAACAGUUACUGAUGGCUGUUAUGGUUUUCUUAAUUUGUGUAGAAUAUAUAGUUUAGUUCCAUUCUCCACUUGGAUGUAUUGUUAUGAUCUUUUGCAUUGAUGUGAGUAACAUAAGUUUUUAGGAGCAAGUGUAAUCUACUAGGUUGUUAUACUUAUGUAUGCCACUAACAUGCUUGGAUUCUCCUUGCCCUUACCUGCUCACGUAGAGACUCUCCUAGAGUAUUAAUUAGUGACGACAAUAAAAUGUUUGUUACGUAGCUUAUAUUUUCUGUGAGGAGAGGGGAGAUGUCUUAUGUUUCGAUACUUGUUACUGCAGAUACUCACCAAACAUCAAGGAGUUGAAAGUACUUAGUCACAGGAAGGUCAGAAGGGCAAGGCUAUACUAUUUGAGAGACAAACUUCCUAGGUUUUCGACUUUCAAGUGAGAGAGAGCAAUUGCAGCCGUUCUUCGGUUGUUUUUGUGUUGCAGUAGUCCCCUAAAUCAUGUACGCUGUAAGAACUAUAUCUUCCAAUCCAUUUGAUGUGAUGUGUAUCACUUGUCUCCAGUAGUUUUGUUGUAUGUAUCAGUUCUUUCCUUUUUCUAUUGUUCUAUAAACUCUACUAUUAGAAAGGAAGAAGUUUUUCCUCCAACUAUGAUAUCAAACUUCCAACACUGCAUGUAACUUAUGUUUUCUUUACUGGCCACCCAACUGAAAUGUGGGGAUAAAAUCCUGUCUCUGUGUGGAUGGAGGUCUUGUCUCAAAUCAUUUGUUAGUGCCACCAUGUCGAGUUCGUAAGCAUCAUUUUGAAAAAAAGUUGUUUCAUUCUUUCCGUUUAAUCAUCAGAUGCAGUAUGCCUUGACUUUUUAAGGUUGUCAUGAUGCAAGCACCAGUUGUUCCCACCACCAUGUAUAUAUGCUGUAUUGAACUCUACCUGACGCAUUUUGCUAUUGCUUCAAUGAUUCUUCUUGUCUCAGGGUGUUGUUUAUUUGAUAUUGGUUUGCUCAAAGCAUGUAGUUGAGUGGCUUUUAAUAGUGUGAACUGAAUUGCCUGAAAAACUAGCAUUUGCUUCUCUUAGUGUCGUAUUGAUUUAAAUCAGGUAUACUUUUAGACACAAUUGUGUGGGUGCUUCCUCUACGUUUAGACUUUAGAUUACACUUGCAUCUCUUGUCAUGAUUAAUUUCAAAGUAAUCAUUAGUGCUUGAGAUUGAUUGCAAUUUUAGUACUGGAUUCUGUUCAAGCUUUUUGGUAUCAAUCAAUUGUAACAUUAUUGUUAACUGCUUGACUCACCUUUGCUGGAAAGAACCAUCACAUCCCUCAAAACCAGACCGGCUCUGUUCCAUAUCCUUUUCCUUUGUCUUAUGUUUUCAUUUUUAUUAAUUAAUUAAUUUAUUAUUCUGAUAGAUAAUAUGAGGAAUGUCAGGAGAGGAUCAAAGGAAAAAUAUACGGAACAAGUUCUUAUUCCCAGAUUUAUGGAGGAAAAAGCUAUUCAUGGCCCCCUUUGUUUACUUUGCAAGUUCCGUCUUCAAAAAUUUCCAGUUUAGUCUUGAAGUUGAAAAUAAAUUAAGUGAAAUUCGUCUGUAUGGUACGUCAACUUUCAAUCCUUAUAAACUUUGGUAUACCAACUUUCUUAAACAUCAGAAUGGUAUGUCAUGUUUUGCCCCGACUGAAGAUUGGUACUUUUGACCGUCAGCUCCGUUACAGCAGGUGCUAGCUGCCAAUUUUUCAUGGGUAUUUUGGUCUCUCCAAUCAUCUCGCCAAUUCCCUAAUAUUUUCCCACCAAUUUUAGAAUGCAGUAAAAUUUUUACCGCCAAUUUUAGAUUCAUGUGUUUUUGACCAAAUUUAAACUCACUUUUGUACCUAUUAUUUUUGGCUGGGACAAGUCCUUUAACACAAGAGAUCUCUUAAUGUAAACAUAACUUGGAAAAUAAAAUGUACAGAAUCUAAAAUCAACAUCCCUUAAAAUACAAUAACUAAUCGUCAUUAAAAUCAACAUCCCUUAAAUAUAUAAUAAUAGUCAUAGCAAAAAAGGUCUAUAAAAUCAACAACAAAAAGCAUUGUCUAGCAGCAAUAGCCAUAAUAGCAAAAACUACAUCUAAGGUUUUCCUCUUCCACAACAACCUACUCAGAUUCUUCAAGGUUUGGGUUUUCUGUGAGCGAUCGAUUUGUUCCUCCUCUGUUUGAAUUGGAGAAUGGAGGAGCUUUGUGGAGUUGUUGUGCUUUGGGAAUGUUGUGUAGGCACAUGAGGAGGUUCUGAUUCUUCCACAUUUUGUGAAACUUGUUGUUGCUGCAUUUGCACAUUGUCCACAUUUUGAGCAGCCUCUUGCUGGGCAUUCUCCUCAUUUUGAGCAACCUCUUGUUGUGCGGCUUGCGCUGCCUAAAAACCAAAUACCAUACAAUAAUCUCAGCACCACAUUUAACACAAGUUAUAAGCUAUUUAUACAAUCACUCAUAACUAUCUCUUUACACCAUAUUUAUAAGAAUUUAUAAUAUCAUCACCAUUCAUAACAACAAAUUUAACACAAGAUAAAGAAAAAUAAGGCCUAAAAACCAUACUUGUUGCCUUCUUAAGCAGGUCCUACUGUUGUGGCCUUCCUUCCCAUAUUUUCCACAACUAAUUUGUGUGUAAUAUGCCUUAGACAACUUAUCUGCACCAGGUGGUGGGGCUGCUUCACCUUUUUAACCAGUCACAGAGAAAUAUAUUCCUUAUAUAUAUGAACAUAAACAACAAGAAAUUAAAAAAAAAAAUACNNNNNNNNNNNNNNNNNNNNNNNNNNNNNNNNNNNNNNNNNNNNNNNNNNNNNNNNNNNNNNNNNNNNNNNNNNNNNNNNNNNNNNNNNNNNNNNNNNNNNNNNNNNNNNNNNNNNNNNNNNNNNNNNNNNNNNNNNNNNNNNNNNNNNNNNNNNNNNNNNNNNNNNNNNNNNNNNNNNNNNNNNNNNNNNNNNNNNNNNNNNNNNNNNNNNNNNNNNNNNNNNNNNNNNNNNNNNNNNNNNNNNNNNNNNNNNNNNNNNNNNNNNNNNNNNNNNNNNNNNNNNNNNNNNNNNNNNNNNNNNNNNNNNNNNNNNNNNNNNNNNNNNNNNNNNNNNNNNNNNNNNNNNNNNNNNNNNNNNNNNNNNNNNNNNNNNNNNNNNNNNNNNNNNNNNNNNNNNNNNNNNNNNNNNNNNNNNNNNNNNNNNNNNNNNNNNNNNNNNNNNNNNNNNNNNNNNNNNNNNNNNNNNNNNNNNNNNNNNNNNNNNNNNNNNNNNNNNNNNNNNNNNNNNNNNNNNNNNNNNNNNNNNNNNNNNNNNNNNNNNNNNNNNNNNNNNNNNNNNNNNNNNNNNNNNNNNNNNNNNNNNNNNNNNNNNNNNNNNNNNNNNNNNNNNNNNNNNNNNNNNNNNNNNNNNNNNUCUUAUCAACAUGUCCAUCUCUUAUUAAAGCUUCAUCAUUUCGGCCAUCGUCAUCCACUAAAUCAUCAUUCCCAAACCCAAAAACAUCAUUCAGGUUCUCAUCAACAUCAUCUUCUUCAUGAUUAGGUUCUCCUUCUUCCACAUCAUCAAUCCACCAACCAAGCAAACUAGUAUGAUCUAAGUCUUCAUUAUAUACAUUAAGUUCUUCUUCACAGAACACCUUCCUUUCACUAGUACACACUAUGUACAUGUCUAAAAGCUUAGUCCUAGGGGAGACAUGAUCACACAUCUCUAUUGCCUCUAUGUCAUCUCCUAGGGGCAAAUAUCCUGAUCCCUCUUCACUCCCAGGAAUCCUAAACCAAAAUUGAAUUGGAGGUGAUUGGUACCCCAAAUCAUUUGCCCAGUAGUGGAUUUGAGUCAUAGAAACCUUAUCCCGGUCAACUCCAUCAACAAAACAUACCUCCCCUCCUCUAUAAUGCCUAUUUAAUCCCCUAUUAGAGUGAAAUCUUCCUCCAUGGUGAACCCUCACAGUAAAAACAGUCGGAUCUGCAAGUGAAAAAGGGAAAAAAAAUUGUCACUUUUUUUUCCCUUUAUUUGUUACACAUUAAGCACACACAAAACACAAUCAAUUCGUCCAAAGCAUGCAUAUGAUGAAGUUAUGACGGUCACCAACCAAGCCCCAAACACAACCCUCUUUAUUCAUGUUGAAAACCCCCAAUCUGGGGGAAUUAAGAGACCCUCACCCACCCACCCACCCUUAUGCCCUGAUCCUUUCUCGAUCAAAUCCCCAACCACUUCAUUCCCGACAUCACAGAGACAACCCUAAAGAAUAAUGGCACAUCAAGACAAAAACUUCUACAAAAACAAACACAGUAAACAUACCAAACCCUAGACACGCCCAUGAAAUAUGAAAACAUAGACGAUUGAUGGCCAUAAACAAUACUAAGUAUUGCGAUUCAUUCGAGUAAAUGGAUUAAAAUUUGAGAGAGGGACCAUUAAUUUUACCUGAGUAUGUUGGUGGCUCCCCAGAGAGACGAAAGUAUCUCCAAACUUUGGACAUCGCAAAAUCUUUGCUUGUAUGAUCGAUGGAGAGAGGUUGAUCGAGAGAAAGAGAGACGAGAGAGAGUGACAACGAAAGAGACGAGAGAGAGCGGACAGUGAAAGAGAAAGAGACCAGAUGGAGAGAGGAGAGGCUGAGAGAGAGUUUAAUUUUUAGGAGAAAAUAAUUAGGUUUAAUCGGUCGCACGUAAAUUUACCAUAGUACCCCCCAUUUUUGAAUUUUGAAUCGCGUUGUAACGGAGCUGACGAUCAAAAGCACCGAUCUUUGGUCGGGGGAGAAACUUGACAUACCAUUCUGAUGUUUAAGAAAGUUGGUAUACCAAAACUUAUAAAGACUUAAAGUUGACAUACCGUAUGAACGAAUUUCCCAUAAAUUAAUUAGGAGCUUUAUGUUGUCAACAACGAAGUGCAUUCUAUAGGUUGAAAAGAUGACCCCAUUUUAUUGAUAGAUUUCCAUGACUACAUUCAAACAUUAUUUGCCCAACUUUAGGGGUGUUGGUGCUGGGAUUGGACGAAGUUGUUGUCCUGCUAGACAAUAUGGCCUUGUUCCUUGAAGGAUAGGGACAGAAGGAGAUUAAGGUUGAUUUGUGUAUAAAAGUACUUGAAAGUGUAGCCUGCACAAACUUAGUUUCAUUUCAUCGGAAGAUUUGAAGCAGAUGAAGGUCGACGAGAGACAGUAUUUUAGUACCAGCGUAUGGCAAUGGGGUUUCUCUGUCUAGCUUCAGACUUUCAUCUAUGAGACUUGAGCACAUAGAGACCUUCAUUCAGAUUGCUUCACGAAUAUUGGAUCAUAUCCUAGAAAACAGAAUCCGAGUUAUUGUCGAUCAGAUUUGAGAUGGUUGAUCGUGAAUCGAUCGUUCCCUUGCUGCCUAUUAUUGUGUCCGGCUAGGACGUGACUUUGAGUUUGUACUGUUCUAGGCCUCUAAUUAUUCAUCCCGAUGAAUUCAGAUAAGUACCAGAAAGUCCCUGGUAUAAUCGGAAGAAGGUAGGUAUACAUCCAGAGAGUAUACCUAAGGUACUCGCAACUCUCACCGGCCACUUACAUCUCCUUUCUUUGCUCUACAUGGAUAUACGGAAGAGGCAAAGAUAUCAGAGUUAAACAAGGCCAUAAUAUGUUUGCAUACCAAUCUCUCUUUCCCCAAAGAGACGGAAUAUGAACGAAGUGAAUUGUAGUGCUAGCUAGAGAUGUGAUUGCAACAGACCAACAGAGUAUUGAUUCUGAAUUUGUCAAUAGCUAACCUUCGUGAUCAAUCCAAUAAUAGCAUCUAUAUUGACCACUUAACUUGGGUUGCAAGACAUCACUACAUUAGCUCCCUCAUAACCAAAUCCAAGUACACUGCUUCAAUGGCAACUGCACCACAUACACUCUUCGACUCUUCGUGCACACCCAAGAGAUCAUGAAGUCCUUUAGAAUGCGCUACAAGUUCUCGACUCAAUGAAAUGUUUCUCUAGUCUUACGCUCAUAUUAUGAAUUCUAUAGACCUUUAGUCGAAGAGCCUUCAUUGCACGGUCUGUUGUAGAUUACAUGAUACUAAUAUUACACUCAAGUACACCACCGUAAAUACAAUAUAUUUUGUUAUUAUUGAUUAAUUGACACAUACACCGCCGAUACUAAUUGGUGUUGUAUGUGAUUGUGAUACGGUCAAAUAAAAUACAAAUAAACUUCCAGGUGAAAAGGCAGAGAGAGACACGUCAGAGGAUCGCAGUUCCAUUCUGGGGUAGUAGAGUACGGUACGCACUUAAACGCUUAAAAAAGCUGUCCUUGUAAUUCUCCCUCACUUUUGAAGCGGGCUUCCUCAUUCCCCUGCAUCCGACACGUGUCCUCUGCUCCUCUCCGCCAUUCCAUAAUUCACUCGGCGCUCGGACCGUAGGCCGAUCUUGGAGGCUCCCUCCCAGUCGUAGAAAUUGGACCGAGCAAUCCGUACUCCUCCACCUACGCUCCUGCCUCCAUCUGUUAGUCCCCAAUUCAAUUUCACUCUCUCUCCCUUCACCAUUCAAUUUCCCACCUUGUUUCUCUCUCUGAAUUACAUGAUGAUGAUGUUAGGGUUUGUUGUCCUAAUGUGAAUACCAGGGUUUUGAUAUUGGUUGCUGAAUCACAACUCGAACAAAUAUAUACAAGUCAUUGUUGGAAUUGGUGGUUGCGCAUCAUGAGUGCCGGCGGCGGUAAUCAGUUGAUCUCUGUUCUUCCCGAGGAGCUCCGAUUUCAAUGUAAUCUCUCUCUCCCUAUGCAGUUCUUGAUGAUGAUCAUCGAAAUGCAUGAACAGCGGAAAUUAGGCAUUGUGUUGAUCAUGUUUGUUUUUCUUGUUCGGUUAUUUGAAGUUUGAUCAUUGAGGGCCAAGCAAAGUUUCUGGUUUAUAUUAGUGUAGGUAUGAUUGAGCCGUUGAAAUUAGUGUCGUAAAUUGUAUGAUAGCAUAUGAAGCAAAUCAUAGUCGGAAAUGUUUCUAGGAGUCGAAUUUAAGGAUGUUUUAUUUAGCUGAUUUAGUACGGUUGCGUGCCUGACCCCACAUUCUUGUUUACUGCUAUUGUGCUUCUGUUGUAAUCUUGUUUAGUUCCUCAUGGCCUGUGGAUUUGUAUCCAUUGCUUUCUUGAGCCCUGUCUUUUUUUUUUUUUUUUUUUUUUUUUUUUUUUUUUUUUUUUUUGCCGUAAUUAGCAUCUGUGGUUCUUUGAGCUAAAUGGUAAUUGGCUACUACUGGGGGAUAUAUAGCUUUAUUCCGUCCCCAUUGGCUACAUUCUAGGUUCUGGUAGGAAUCUUCGCAUGUGAAGCUCUAGUCUGAGUUAAGAGAACUGGUAUAUCAGUAGUAGUCCUGGCUAAGUUCAAUAGAAUAUAAGAAUAACCGGGCAAGGGAAUUAUAUACAAUAAGCUGGUACAGAGUCGACUAGAAUUCUAGAAAUCAUACGAACUAUUGCCAACACUUGUUCGGCUGGUCUUUGAAAUUGUUCAAAUUGAAUAAAAUUCUUGGAAGUGAAUGCAAAUAAGCACAUACCACACUGUAACCUGAUAUCCUUAUAGAGUUAUAGUGCCACCCUCCAGGAAGGUUUUCAAACUCUUGGUUAUGUACUUCUUCUUGGAUAGUUUAGUAUUGUGUAAUACAGUUUUAAUGGACUAUUGGUCUUGACAUUUUCUAAUCAGUUGAGCUGGAAAAACAAAGCUUUUGUGACCUAAAAGUCAGCAACAAUACAGAAAACCAUGUUGCUUUCAAGGUACGAGUUCGUGAAUGAUACUCGGUUUUACGCAUUAAGAGUAUUGUUUUCUUCAACAUGUUUUUAAUAGUUUCCACUUUUUUCUCCAUAGGUUAAAACCACUUCCCCUAAGAAGUACUUUGUACGGCCCAACACUGGCAUUAUACAAGCUUGGGACUCAUGUGUCAUCAGAGGUGCGCUACUUGUUACUGUUUUAUGGUUUUCAUUUUUUUCUUUUUUAUAUUUCUUAGCUUCACAUUGAAAGUAAGGAUUUUAGCUGUGAAGGUAUCCUAGGAAUACACUGCAAAACAGAUUGUCUCUCCCACUGCUUUACCUAACAAGAUAUAGAGGUAUCUUAGGAAUACUCUGCAAAUUAGAUACCUUACAAACCAAGUCGAGUACUAAAUUUGUAAGAUCUGAUACCUUACAAAUCAGAUCUUAGCGAUACUGCCCAAUAAUCAUCUCCAUUGUUUGAGCUGUAACUGUAAUGAGUGCGGUAGAAAUGUCUCACAUAUGAUUGAAUUUUAAGAACAUAAUGCCAAUGAAUGACAACCUUUUGAUCUAAGAAUUGUACCAGUUGUAAGAGUGUAAUAUUUUCUUAAGCUUUGUUCACAAGCCUGCUAAAUUGUGAAUAUUAUGUUCUAUUUUAUUCUCUUUUAAAGAUUUAUAAUUACUGUCUUCCACUAACUGCUGGGUCUGCAGUCACCCUCCAGGCCCAACGAGAAUAUCCUCCAGACAUGCAGUGUAAAGAUAAAUUUCUCCUACAGAGUACAAUAGUGCCUCCAAAUUCUGAUAUUGAUGAACUUCCACAAGAUACUGUAAGAAGCUUAAGUUCAACACUAAUGUCAUUUUCUUAUUAAGUUGCUUCACCUGAACUAGUAAUGACAUUGUUCACUCUUUAAUGUUUCAUCCAGUUCACCAAGGAAAGUGGAAGGACAGUAGAGGAGUGCAAGCUUAGAGUUGUGUAUUUAACUCCUGGUUCAGGUCAAGGAAAUGAAGAUGGAGCUUCUAUGCGUGGUCUUGAUACCAAUUCUGUGAGUUUUUUUGAAGUACAUAAUUUUGGAAUAAAUUUUUGUCUUGCUAUAACGUGCAUGUACAAUUUUUUAUUCUCGUUUUUUGAGGCCAAUUCUUCACCGACUACUUCACAUAUUUAGUCCAAGAAUGUGUGCAUUAGAUUUCCUGCCAUGCAAUCGUUAGAUGAUUUGUCACUAGAAACCUGAACUCUAGAUUUCGUGUGAUUACUAGUGUGUGAAUUAAGUUAGGGCGGUAUUCAAAAUGAUAUUUAGUAGCAAAGGGAUGAUGUGAAGAGGCUCUAGUUGCUACCACAACUGCGAGUGUGGUUAUAUUGUUCUAGCUUACUUUCUUUUGAUCCCAUGGUUCUUCCUGAAAUCUUGUAAGGUUAAUAUAUAGUAUCUUGUUAAGCAGACCACAUUGGUGUAUAGUAUAAUUGAAGUUUUUUCUUAUUCUUAUUUACUCUUGAAAUUUAUUUAUUUUUACUGCAGAAUCAGACUUUCCAGCGCCUGAAGGAAGAAAGAGAUUCAGCUGUUAGACAAACACAGACACUUCAACAAGAACUGGUCAGUUUCUAAUUAUUUUCCUUGCUCCUCAGUGACAUACAAAAGACUUCAUCAGUAUUUAACCUCUCUUAGACCUUUACCGUUAAUUCUGCAUUUGUUUAAUGUGCACGACAACAAUAGAAGGAGUUAAAAGGAAAUAGCAUAGUUUGUCUGUACUAAUCAUUUUUGCUUCGUUCAUCUUCUCUCAACAUAACAUCAAAUAGUAUUCCUGAAGUUGACAAGAGCUGAAAUAAGUAGUGGUUAUAGUCUCAUGUUUAAUACAUAGAUGUCCUUUGAAAGAACAUAUACAUAAAAAGCAUCAAGGCCAAGUUAAUAUUUACCCGCAGCCCUCCCCACUGAUGGUCUACUCCUGUUCAUUUCAGGACAUACUGAAGAGGCGGAGAUACCGGAAAGGUGACCCAAGCUUUUCCUUCACCUUCGCAAUUUUCGUGGGACUUAUCGGACUCAUGGUUGGUUUCCUCUUGAAUCUGUCACUGUCUUCACCACCCAUAGAAGUUUCACCAUCCACAGAAUCUUCACCACUAAUGGAUCCACCAUUAAUGGAUUGACGUUAUUCAGAACAUCAUCAUAUAUCUUCAUGACAAAAUUCAUUGUAUAAUCCCUCUGGGCAUUCUGGUUGAUGGAAAGUUUGCUUUACUUCAAUUUCUUCUUCUUUUGUAUAUUGAUGAUUGUUGCAAAUUUGCAUCGUGAUAGUUGAUUUAUUAUAAAUAUAUAUGUUUCUAUUUUUGUACUGUUCAUUGUUUUAUGUCGAAUUGUGCCUGUGAUUCCAUCACUGAAUCUAAAUUAUCCGAACACAUACAAAGAAGAUGAUUGUUAUAUUCUCAAAUCUCAAUAGCGACUGACCUUACAUAAAUGAAGAGAAAUUUUUACCGAAGUGUUAAGAUACAGUUGGACCUAAUAUUAUAUAUGAAUAGAAAAAGAUUAAUUGAUUAAACCUAGAUCAAUACUUGGAUAUCGGUUCUCAUGGAGAAGAAUGAAUGUGCUCCAGUAUAUUUCAUAGCUAAAAAGCUAUGAAACCUAGUCAUUUGCCAAAUAAGCUUCAACAUUUGUUUGGCUCUAUAGCUUCUGGUGUGACAUGCUAGCACACAAUUCGAUCUCAUCCUUGACCAUCCUUCUAAUAUAAUCUCCCCUGCUUCUCUCUCCAAGUCAUAUAUUGAUUAUAUUGAAUUGACACAUCAAAAUUAAUCUUCAUAUAAUCUGCAGCAGGAAGAUGCCAUUUGAUAAUAGGAAAGCGUGAAGUUCUUGGUUUAUGAGAAGGAAUAUUGGUAGCUAAAUAAUUAUUAAGAAAAGAAUUAGCAUGAAAGUAACAUUGAUUGCUACUAGUUUGUAUAUUUCUAAAAUUAUGCCAGAUCGACCAAGAGAGCAUCAAAACCAAUUGUAAAUGAGAUUUUUCAUUGUGUGAAAUAAGGACUUUAACCAAGCAAUGAAAGAGUAAUUAAAGGGAGGUCUAUAAGUGGGAGGUGAGAGCAUCCAUACACUUUGCGCAAAGACGCAUUGAGUGAACAGAUGAUCGACUCAUUCCACUGUUUCUAAAUUCCAAGUACCUAUCACAAAACGCACAAAAAGAUGGAACAUGAGAAUGGUAGAGUGAGAGAGUAUGACGAGUCUUUAGUCUAUUUCGAAGUAGUAGGCAUGAAAAGAUUUUAAAUUUGAGAUGUAGAGUUCAUUUCCAAAUUUUAUGUAAAAAAGAAGCAUUAGAAUGAGGAUGCAUGUUGAGAGUUUUGCAGUAGCCAAAACAAAUUGUUCUGGUUUAGGAUAUAAAGGAAGAGGCACUGCAAUUUGAACAAUAUCCACUGGCACAGUCUGUUCUAAAAGGGAUACAUUCCAAGUUCCAUUUACGAUAAAAUGACUAACAAUAACAACCCAGUCAAUGUUACUCUCCUAGCUAGCAUGAUCAGGAAUAAGUUGAUAUAAAGGAAAAGGCAUUAACCAGUUGAAUUUCCAAAAUAAAACCGAAGAACCAUCAACAAUAAUCCAACGCAAUCCUUCUAAAAGUAUAUGUCUUAAAUCUAAAAUUCUUUUCCAAACAUAAGAAUGUGAAGAUUUUUUGGGCAUAGUAAGGUCUCGUUUGAUACUUGUUAGUCACCAAUUGAACCCACCAGUUUGAUGGUUGAGUUAGAAUUUUCCAACCUAACAUGGCAAGCGCAGCUUGGUUGAAAAUAUGUGCAGGUCGAAUCCCUAAACCCCCAAGUUUAGUCGGCGCAGCAGUUUGAGACCAAGAAACAGCCUGACUGGGAAUUACCCUAAAAGAACCUUCUGUUUUUUUUUUUGUCAAUUUGAUCUGUAAAUUUUUGAACAUUUAAAACAUGAUAGGAUAUGAUUUGGCAUUUAACUGACGGAAACUUACCACCCCUAGACAAAGUAUUUGCUUUCCAUUCGGCUAGUUUCUUUUGUAACUGCAUUUAACCAAAAAAAAAAAAAAAAAAGGUUUACUUUUGUAACUGGUUAAGCAAAAGAAUUAGCAUUAAAGAAUCAGCCAAGAGACAUGGUGGGCUGUUGUGUAGGUUACCCUUACCAAGGGUGGACAAAUUCUAGCUCUGUUGUUCAUGGUACGGUUUUCAGCAUUUGUCAUAGAAGUACUGUAGCUAUUACAGGAUGGACUUAGAAUUUGGGAAAUGAUUUAGUAAGAGUUUACGUAAGACACUAAAUUUGAAAUAUAGAAGACGAAACAUAUAUAGGAGGAUAUAGUUAAUUUACAACUUUACAUAUUACAUUUAUACAUAUAUAGAGAGAAUAUAGUUCUUGACAUGAUCAGUACUUUCUUGCACUAGCUAACAUAAUCCAGAUAGCGAAAUAGACAAUACUAACGCUAGAUUGGUCUUUCUAGUGCUGCUAGUUAAUUAGCAAUGCCAGAUCCUGAACACCUUCAUGUAUCUAGCUACCCCAAGAAUGAUAGAGCAGGGCCACAAAUAAAACAUGACAUCCAAUACGUCGGAUGACUUUCACAUAAUCUCAAAGCAGGAAUUCAACCAAAUACUAAUGAAAUUCAAAUGAUAUAUAUGUGUAUUAUUUAUAAUGUCGUAUAUAUCUUCUCUAUUAGCUUCAAGAUCGAGUACAACCAUUUUUUGGUUCCCGAGAACUGAAACCUGUAAGGGUUGGGCAUGGCUCACAGAGUGACCAAUUAUUACAAUUAACCACUUGAAACAGCUUAGUUAACGAUGGCUGACCAACCACUUGGUUUCGGCAAAGAGGACAAACAUGAUUGUUUUUGAGCCAGUUGACAAUGCAGUCUCCAUGGAAACGGUGUGAGCAAGGCAACCGAGCAACUACCCUCAAAGGGGGUGGCUCUUUUCUUGGCGUUUUAGCGAUGGUGCCACUGCUGCUUUGUAGUCCAAGCAGCCUCUUGCUCUUCCUCUUGGGUUGUUGUUUGAGUUUCUUGCCUUUUUUAUCAACUAGGUCCUCCAUACAAAUAACACAAGAGUCUUCAAACCCCAAGAAGCAGCCAUCAACUCUCUCUUUCUCCAUACCCUAAACUGAUGAUAUCGCAUCGUCUAGAAAAGCAUCGCAAGCAGAUGUGAACAAGCACUCCUUCACUUCCACUAUGUCGACAUGAAUGACAGAAGCUGUUGAGGCCACUGCUGGAUCUUCUUUUUCGGCCACCCGGAAUACUUCUUCAAUACAAGAUCGUCGUACAUGAUCGGGGAGUGGCUCCUCCUUAAAUCGGAGUGAAAAGAAGUCGACCAUUCUCCAUGUAUACUCACUCCUGUUGGAUAAUAGCUCGCUUCGAGGAAGAUCAGAGAUGACGAGUUCGUCACCUUUAUGGUGGUAAGGUAUGCCAUCAGACAUGGUUUUACCAGGUUUCAAGGAGACUCCCAUCUUAGUGUAGAUCUUUAUCUUGAUCUCAACCGAGUCCUCGCCUUCCCAUCGAUUGGGGUCGCUUGUGAGCCACACUUCGCUCUCGAAUGAACGUUUCUCAAAAUACAUGAUUGCUUCCACUACCAGAAUAUGGAAACAAUCUGUAGUCGACGAUUGCUAUUAUAUAGGCAUGCUAGCUAGGUAGUCCGAAUUCGACGAGGACUACAAUCCUAAUGGUGCUAGGGUUUAGCUAAAAGGAUUUUUGGAGAUUUCCGAAUGGGAAGAGGAUUCCGCUUUUAUAGCCAGCGUGGACCUAACUCCUAAGCAACCAAGUCUUCCCUAAUACGGAAUCAAAAUAAAAUGCGUCCCAAAGAAAAAAAAAAGAGAAAAAGAAUAAAACAGGAAAUAAAGAAACUAUUUAAAACGGUGUUAUCUAACAAGAACUCUACACAAAAAAAAAAAAUACUUACUUACUCAUCGGAAAAAAACCUGAUAACCCCUUCACCCUUGUGAGUUGUGACUUCGUCUAUUAGAAAAAAUUUCCAAGCUAACAGAUGUUCGGAGUGAAUUUGGAAUUCUUCGAACAAUCAGUUUUUGUGGCGUGCCGGUAUCUAUGAGCUUCAGUGCAACUUGAUCUUCUUCUCGCUCGGGCGCUUCUUAACUUCUUCCUCAAGCAAUAAUUGAGUGCAGGUGUAAUCAAAACCUGCAGCAAGGUUUUUACUCAGACCUAGCAGAAAACCACUAGGAUUUUUCUUUGUCCUCCGCGAAUAGCCAGAUCCUACUUGAGCCGAUAAAGUCAAGCAGAGCUUCAAAUCAGGAUUUUACACCUAACAAUGGGGAUAUUUGUUACAACAAGCUGUAACAAUGGUUUUUUGCGGGAUUGUGCUGACGGAUUGGGCUUAUGAGUGAAACGGGGAGUGCUGACGGAUCAGGCUUUGAAGAUUAAAAAAAAAAUUGAAGAGUCUUUUUGGUAGUGGGUGCUCCGGAGAGCUUGAUAUUUGCGUUGCAAAGUUUGUUUGUAUGAUUGGCCGUCUUUUGCUCAUUCGCCUUGACCCCUUUAUAUAGAGAACUAGAUUCAUAUUUCCUUGCGGAUCAAGACAUAUCGGACCUUUAUCUCAACUAAGAAGGUAUCCCCUAGUCAGAUCAUGGAAUAAUCUCCAAAUAUCUUGCCAUAAUUUACCCACGAGGAAGAAAGCUAUUUACAAAGAUUUUGACCGCAGGUGUCGGUCUAAUGAGCUCGUAAUACUGGGAAAUAUUAAUAUAGACCCAAACAACAGAAUUGGCUUGCCUACGCAUUAGUCGGAUAGCCUGGGCAGUAUGUGAAAGUAGAUGAUCUCUUUUCUUUUCUUUUUUUGGUCUGAAAAGUAGAUGAUCUCGGUUGGGAGCUCUGGAGUAUCAACUUGCAUAUAACUCUUGAUUUUUGGUCUGAUUUUGAUGUUCCAUGACUUCCAUCUGUUAUGUUAAUGAGUGGCAAAUUAUACUGAAUAGGUAGCUCCUGAAGGCCUAAAUUCUCACUUCAACGUAUAUCAGUUCAUGAAGUGGAAUGAAAUAACAAACAUGAUGAAAUAUUCCAAAUCGACAAGUUGCUUGGACUCUUGAAAAAACAUCAACAUGUAAAUAACCCACAUUACAUGGACAACUCAGAAAGUUGAAUGAACGUACUGACAAACAAACGUACAUGAGGCUUUUAUAACUUCGACAAAAUUCCUUAAACCCCUUUGGCUUGGACACAGACAACCUAGCAAGAAGAAAUUCCAGCCUACAAAAAUCUAACCUCACAAAGUUGAUGUACGUACGUGAUUGAUUUCCUGUACUCUUGAAGUAUAUACUGGUUCUUGAAGAUACUUCUUACACUCGUUUCAGAACAGAAAAUGAAGAUACUCCUUACACUGGAUCGAAGUUCCAUUCCUAUUACAAAACCCCUUAUAUCUUUAAUGUUUUUUCUAUAGUCUUUAUGGUCCGUAUUCAUAUGCAUACAUAGAAACAUAUAUUCCUUAAGUUUUGAUCAACUAAAUAAUAUACUAACCUCGUCUGGAUGUCAUUGCUUUGAUCGGUUGACGUCGUCGAUGGAAUACAAGAUCUUCUAGUCUCUCCAGUCUUUUUAUGCUAUAUCUUAAUGGGGCAGAAUGUUUAGCGUAUUGACUGUGAGUCUAGGGACCCUGUAUUUAUAAGGUCGGAUGUCUUAAAGUCCUAACCCAUCGAGGAUACAACAAGACACAUAUUUAUGACCUAGUAAUCUUGACAGUAUAUCUCUAGGAUUACAUUAAUCCUUUAUUUGUCAAGUUUAUUAUUAAUAUAUUAUUUCACAUAGAUAUUUACCGGAUGAUCAUUAUUAUAUUCUCAAUGAUCAUUGACUAAUUUCCAUUUAUUUCCUUAGUAUUAUAUUACAUGAUAUGUCUAAUAUCUUACAUUUUCUACUUAAAUAUCUUUAAUGUUUGUUCUAGACUUCCAGUCUGUUAAAACUGCAAAAACAUACAUGAUAUGACCAUAUAUAUCAUCCUCCGGAUCCUUUCGAACUUAAUUUUUACUUAAAUAAUUUCAGUUUUAAUAUACAAUAUUACUAGGCCGGGGCAUAAAUCUAUAUUCUUAAACAUGAACAUAUAUAGAAUAAUUUAUAUUUUUAAUAUACAAUAAGCUUGGAUUUCGUUUCUCGUGUAGAAGAAUGAAUAUGCUCCAUUAUUACACAGGAGAAACGUUAACCUAGUUAGCCCCUUGCCAAAUAGACUAUUUGACAUUCUACAGAGUGCAGGUCUUAACCAAAUAUAUACAAAUUGCAAAAAUUUGUUUGGCUGUAGUUUCUGGUGUGACAAGUGCAGCACAAUUCGAUCUCAACCUUGAUCUUCCUUCUAAUAUAGUCGCUCCCUCUCUGAAUUAUUGGUAGGCAUGUUCUCCAUCUUUUCUCAUAAUGCAAUAGUGUAGAUCAUUGGUUCUUUCUUGAUCGAUGGCCGAUGGUGGCAUGGUGGGCUAUUGUGUAGGUUAAUUACGUAUUACAGCUUUCAAAACUUGUACAUUUGAGGCAAAGCAAAUUUUCCGUGGAGCUGAAGGUUUUCAUCCAUUCAGCACUAUAACAGAAGAACACAAAAUAACUGCAUCACAACUUUGUACAUUACGCUUGCCUAAAUGAUCGAAAUCAGACAUUACAGCCAGAAAAACUGCUCCUAUACUGCUAUACAACAAGUCUCUACUCUCUCCUCUCUUUUGAAAAAUAAGACAACGUUCUAUAAGAUCGAAAGCACAUAUGUGUAGUGCCCAUUUGUUAUCGGCACAGAUGUGACUGUUUUUAAGCAAGUUGAAAGUGCAGUCUCCAUGAAAUGGUGUGAGCAUGCUGAUCGAGCGACCUCAUAUAUUUAUUAUAGACACGAACGUCUACACUUAAUUGACAUGAUAAGAUUCUUGCACUGCUAGCUAACAUGAUCCAGAUCUGUUCUAGAUUAAUCUAGCUAGCAGCUGUUAGCUUGCUCUAAGAGCAUUUUUAGAUUGACGUAGAAUAAAUGUGCAUCAACGUUCAACAGAGAAAUUCAUACAAAAAAAAAAAACGUUCAACGAGAAUGAACCACUUGAAACAGCUUAGUUAACGAUGGCUGACCAACCACUUGAAAUAGCAUAUGCUAGCUUUAUGUUCUAUAUAUAAAUAACUUGUUCGUUUAUUUAAAAUUCAUUUGCUUGUAGGCAUCUGAUUUAAGCUAGAAAUCGCAAAAGCUGGAUUGUGUUCAUCAGCUUCAGGAUCGAUGUACAUAUCAAUAGCUUUCCACAGGGUAUAUUAACAAUGUCUAUGUAGCACCUCAUUGUUGGAGAUGAGAUGAGCCGUAUAUGAAUAGUGUUUCAAUGAGGACAACACCCUAAAUAACACUUGAUGGUUGGAGUUGCCCUAAUAUUAGGUAUGAAUUACUAUCAGGUUUUACAUAGCUUAAAUUUAUCUCUUGUGAUUUGGUCACACUGUUUGGAAAUAUCAUCAACGGGACCCUAGCUAGUUUUGUAAUUCUUCUUGUUUUUUGUUUUUGUUAUUUUUAAAAACUUAUCCAUAAUUAGUAUAUAUUUUCAACUUGAUAAAUGUUUCUGCAUAUCUAUUGCUUACAACUUGAGAUCCAUAUAUUCAUGAACAAAUAGUAUUAAUUUCAAGCACAACAAAUAGUCUAAAUGAAAAAUCUCUCCUGCAAACAAGCGAAUAAGCAACAGUAAAAUGUAGGAAAAUAAUCAUAUAUAUAUAUAUAUAUAUAUAUAUAUAUUCUCCCCCCUCAUCCCCUUCACUAUAUAUCAAAUUAUCAAUCCCAUCCGCCUGCACACAAGCAACAUAUCCUCCAUGCUGACCAUGCAAUCUUCUACUAUCCUCCUCCAUUUUCUCAAUAAAUUAACAACUGAUCGGAAAACCAACUUAGACAAAACCAACCUCCAUGACCAACCACACCAGGAGAUUCAUCCUUCACUAUCUCUUCUGGAUCCACAAUUCCAACAUAUGUACAUGUGCCACCAUGCUCGCUGUUAAACUCAGACUUGCCGGAGUGAGAUGAGGGGAAGGCGGAAGACCCGACCAACAUUGACAAAGUUUUUUUUUCUUCUUUUAAGCUGGACCGCCUGCCUGCCUAGGCGCAGUCCACGUAAGUUUCACCUAGCCCACUUAGACCCAGUCGCCUAGGCGAAAUCGACGUGAAAUGUCCGUUGUGUCCCCUGGUUUUUGCCCCUAUAUAUAAAGCCCUUCGGAGUCUCUUUCCUCACUUCUCGGUCGCCGAUCACCGGUUUGAUUUGAAUGUUGGGUCAUGGAGAUAGAGUGAUAUUUGUUCUGGGUAAGUUGGCUGAACCCAUCAACUUAAAGCUUUGCUUAAAGGCAAUGUAAUGUUAUUAUAUUGAAAACCCUUUCUGGUUUUGCCCAUUGCAUUCUAUUUCUCCUUUAUUUACUUUUGAUCACAUGCAUUACGAAUGAAAUAUCUGAACUUUUUUCUGUUUGUUAGCCCAGUAUUUGGAAAUUUUAAUCACUUAGUUUACAUCCAUUGCAUAUCGACUUGGGUUGGUUGCCUGGUCCCAAAGUAUUCUUCUUUUGUGAAACUGCCUUUUAGUGUUUGCUUAAGAUGUAUACAACUAUACAUAACCUUAUUGAACUGAAUUCAUAAGUGAUCUACAACCAUUACUUAUUACCACUAGUUAUUGUGGUUUACAUUUCCAUUGACAGACAUAGCAUCAAACUUUUGUAGAGCUUUUGUUCCUGUUAGUAAUAGUAUCCUCUAAUCUGUAUCUGUUAAUCAACCAGGAAACCAUAAGGGUUACUUGUACUUAACUCACAUUCUUUUUCAUAAUGUCCCCUUUAUUUAUAUUAGUUUACGAUUUUCUUGUACUUUUUGACUCUUUACUUUGAGUUUGAUUCAACAAUUGGCCUGCAUGAAAGUCUCCUCCCUUAUUACAGUUUUCUUGUUGUGUGCCUGUUUUGAAGCCAUAUUAAGCAACUCAUAAACUGUGAAAUAUAAUAAAGCAUAUAGAGUUUAGAUACUUAAAUGGUCUUAGCUAGGCACCAUGUCUUCAAAGAAGUUCUGUUUUCAUGUCCUUUGAAACUUGUAAUGUUAAUUUCUCUAACAAAACCAGAGAGAAACCAGGUGCCAUGGGCCACAAGCAUUUGCAACUGCAAGUUCUCAAGCUCCAGAAGUUUGUAGGGAGAGCACAGUCAACAGAUUUAGUAAUAUUCCUGACAAUGUGGCUCAUCACAUCCUGUAAUGUUGUCUAGGCUUCAGCUUUAGACAACUCGUUCAAGUGAGCAGUGUCCAAAAGAUGCAGAGAUUUUUAUCUGACCUCAUGAUUGAAUUUUAUUUCUAGGGAUGCAAUAAACAGGCAGGAUCAGGUUUACCUGUUGAAUUCUAUAGAUAGGUUCUUGAUUCUUCAUGGGGAUAAUAGGAUACAGCGAUUUCGUAUCGAUUGGAACUCCUAUGCAGGUCUCUGAAGAGGUUUUCCAAAUAGUGACCUGGGUCGAUAUUGCAUUAAGGUGUAAUGUUGAAGUGCUUGAGCUUCAAUUGAGAUUGCAUAAAGCAGAUAGCCCAUUGGUACCUCCAAGUGCUCAGGUAAACUUCCUUUUGCAAAUUUGGAUAUUUUCUUUUUACUGGAUGUUACAAGGAACAUGUCUCUGCUAUAAUGGUAGAUAGCUAGUUUGUGGUUCUUAAACUUCAUAAUUGUGUUGAAACUUGAAACCGAUAUAUGAAAUUGCUCUUACACUAAUUACGGAGCAGCAAAUUGCUGCAGUUUUGGUUCGAAAGCAAUUUAGAUUACUUGUCAGUAUGAAGGAAACUUUAUGAAAAUUAUACAACAGGUCAUUUAAUAUGCUUUUAUUUAUUGAUUUUUUCCAUCUGAGAAAAGUAUGGAGAAAGGGGAGAUGAAGAAAGAGAUGGAGAAAUGUGUAGAAGAGAGGUUGGUUAACAAAUCGACCAAGACUAUUACUAAAAACCAUUAAAGAUGCUCUUCCCCCUUCAUUAUUUUAAUUUUUUUAGAUAUCUUCUUCCUCGUCUCUCUUCUCUCUUUCUCUGUCACCUCUCUCAAAAUGAAUCCUUCCCCCAUGAUUUUAUAGUGAUUUAUGUAAGUGUGAGGGUCUUUUUUAAAAUGAAAUGCGACUAGGCCAAAAUCAAUCCAAUAAUCCGAUUAUUGGGAAGACUUUGUACGUGAUUCAGAUCAAGUAGAAAUCAAAAGGAGCUUGCAGCGUGAAGCAUGGUGUGGGGGAGCUAGAAACGCACUGCGGUGAGAGAAUUUGGGGGUUUUCUGGGUAAGGAUGUCUGAGAGAAGCGGAGGUUGAAGGUGGUUGUUUUGGGAAGAAGAUGGUUAGCUGGGUAAAGAGCUUGAAGGCAUGAAGGCUUGAAUGCUUGGGAUUUUCAAGGCUGUUUGUAGGUGUUUUCUGGGUUUUACAGGAUUAUCUUCAUGAUCUUUUCUACUGCAGGGACUCACCUUUUAUAGGCUCAAUGGAUAAGGUUUUGAUGAACAAAAGCAUAUGAAUAUCUGGGUAAAACAAAGUAGUCUUCUGGAUACAUGAUUUCUGCCUUAAAACCAGGAAAAAGAAGCUUACUUGUGAUGACUGCUAAUUGCUGCAGUGAUAGAGACAUGAUAGCACAAAACCUGGAACGAGGUGUGAAAGAGAGAUUGGAAAUCGUGAAUUAAUGCUUUGAGGGAGAAGAAGAUAACUCUUGAUUGAUUACAAGGUUGCUCCUAAUAAGAUGAUAUGAUCGCUUUAGGAGAUUAAGACUGCUGCGGGGAGGAAAGAAUCUGGAAAAUUGGUUGCUGCGUGAAAAAGAUGAAUCGAAGAAGAAAAAGGUAACUGGGCUUCUCUAAGUGGGUUUGUGCAUUUGGGCUUUUGGGUUUUAAGGAGGGAAUGACCCAAUCCUAUAUUCUCAUGCAUGUUCACCGAUUCACCGUCGAUUUAAGUCAUUGGGCUUGGAUUUCGAGCCCAAGAUCGAAACCACCAAUAACGUUAAACCGACAAAUGAGCAUUAUGCGUUUCCGUAACCUUCCACACCACACCCACUUCUGCAAGCCCCAAAGAUGCGUGGAUGUGGCUUGGGUCCACAUCAAUGGGCAUAUUUGCUUGACGUGUUAAAAUCCUAAUAUUAUAGGAAUUUGCACGAAUUGCAUAACAAAUUGUCGCGUGGCAAAGUGCAUGAUUUUUCGGGUAUCAACAGUAAGUUAUGAAACAUGUAUGGUCCCCAUUUUUUACUAUUGAUUUUGCAUUUAGCUGAACUUAAUCACCAGUAUAUAUUUUUUGGUGAUCACAUGCUUUGUAUUUUUAAGUAUCAGCCUGAAUCUUUGUAAUAAUUUUAUAUUGCAGUUAUAGGGAAGAUUUCAUGCUUCCACCAUUUGAUGUUAUUACUUACUGGAGUAUGCAUAUUCUGAGUUUCACUGAUGGCUAGUCCCUCCGAUGGUGUCUCUUCUGAAAGGGAUGCCUCAUUUUACUCUGUACAUGGAUUCUUAUCCUUCCUUGGAGCACAUCCAAAGUAAGUAGAUGUCUGUGUUGAAACUUUGAAAAUACAGAGCAUUUUGAUCUUAUUAUACUACAAUUUCCAUAGAUUGUAUAGCCCCUUAUAUGUUAAUGUAUAGUCAUCCUUUUACGUAGUGCAAUUAUGGGAAUUUUAUUUUUCAUUCUGUAUGUCUCGAAAAUUAUAUCUUGGUAAGUUUAGAUUUUAAAGAGAUUUGCUUGUUUUCUUUGCAGGCUUGUGGAUUUAAUAGCAAAUACUGGAAAUCCCAAAACCUUGAUUUUAUGUAUGAGCUUAAUGAGGUAUUGGCCACCGGGUUUAAUAAUAAUGCGUUGGAGUUAACAAGGUACAUUCUUGAGCAUGCUUCAAUUUUGGUUCAGUUUUUUUUUUCUGUGAUUCUAUAGGCUGUGGGAAGGACAGUGUAUGAAGCUUUUAGUUUGACCCAUAAACAAUAUCAUUUUGUAACAGAUUUUAUUGGUUCCAAGAUCCUGUAACAGUGGUUCAUCAAGGAUUGCAUUGUGGUAGACCAGUUAUCCCGAAAAGAAUGUCAUGAUGAAAACUUGCCAUGCAGCUUACAAAGGAUCCAAAAUGGAGAUUCUUCAAAAAACAGUCAGCACUCAGAAGCUAAUGACUUGGACAAUGUCAACGGAGAGCGAUGUGGAUCGAGGAAAAGCAUAAGAGAAUUGUGACUAUCAUUUCACAAUGAUUUGACAGAUUGAAAUAAACCCGAGGCACACUGAUUAUCAAACACAAGAUUUGGAAGCAUAGCCGGUUCGUACCUCCAAGUGCUCAGGUAAAUUUCCUUUUGCAAAAACAAAGAUGGAAAUGGAGUGUAUUUCAGUUUUGCACAUCGCUCAAAUUACUAUACUCAAAUUUUCAUAGAUUGUAUCGCCCCUUAUAUGUUAAUGUAUAAUAAUCCUUUUAUGUAGUGCAAUUAUGGAAAUUUUUCAAGGCAAGUCAAUAACGGUAGAUUGCUAGUUUGUGUCUUAGACUUCAUAAUUGUGUUGAAACUUGAUAUAUGAGCUUUUAGAAUGAUUACAAAGCAGCAAAUUCAUAUUGAGGAUGUUAUUACUUAGUUGAGUAUGCAUAUUUUGAGAUUGACUGAUGACUAGUCCCUGCCAUUGUCUCUCUUCUGAAGGGGUCGCCUCAUUUGAAUACUCUGUACGUGGACUCUUACCCUUCCUUGGAGCACAUCCAUAAACCCAAAGUAAUUGGAUGUCUGUGUUGACACUUUGAGAAUACAGUGCAUAGUGAUCUUAAUAUACUCAAAUUUUUUUUGAUUGAAAUGGAAUUUUAUUAACUUCAGACCAAAAGUCAUAUGGGUAAUAAUUCUCAAAAGAGAACCCCCAAUACAUCAAACAUUACUAUACUCAAAUUUCCAUAGAUUGUAUCGCCCCUUAUAUGUUAAUGUAUAAUAAUCCUUUUAUGUAGUGCAAUUAUGGGAAUUUUUCAUUCUGUAUGUCUUGAAAAUUAUAUCUUAGUAAAUUUAGAACUUUAGAGAGAUUUGUUUGUUUUCUUUGCAAGCUUGUGGAUUUAAUAGCAAAUACUGGAUAUCCCAAAACCUCAAUUUUAUGUAUAAGCUUAAUGAGGUAUCAAUAGCUUUGGCCACCGGGUAUGAUAAUAAUGCGUUGGAGUUAGCAAGGUACAUUCUUGAGCAUGCUCCAAUUUUGAGGAAUAUGUUUCAUAUUUUAUCUACCCCAAACAGUUAUAUGUUAUACAGAGAAAAGAACGAAAAUAAAACAACGGGUAAGAGCUUUUAUAGGAAUUUAUUUAACGUUACAUUAUUUCUAAUCUUGUAGCGUUUGUUGAUGAAUCGAUUGGAAAUAUUUUAGGAAGAUUUUAUUAGGGAACCCCAAAUUCUGUAAUUUUCCUUACCUUCAACUGUUUCUUACCAAUAGAGUACGAUGAAAUUUUCAUUUCAAGUAUACUGUUUUGAUUCUGUUUUUGGGUUGCUGCGUUAAAUAUGUUCAUACAAGUUUGGUAUACUGUUUAUAAUUUGGAUAGUUGCUAGGAAAAAGGGUACGCAAAUAUGUUACCAAUGUGCCGGUCUAUUACUGAAAUGGAUAUUCGAAGGUAACUAGGGUGAAAGGUACCUUAUAUUCGUGAAAUAUUGCACUACUAGAAGAAAAACUUUAGCCGACGAAAAUAAAAAAACCAGGCCGACGAAUUAUUUUUUCGUCGGCUAAAGUCCACGAAAUUUCCCUUCGUCGGCUAAUUAAAAAUUUUCAUCGGUUAUGGUCAACUUUAGCCGACAAAAUUAAUUUCGUCGUCUGAAUAAUUUUUUUCGUCGGCUAUAGUCUGUGAACUUUAGCCGAUGAAAUUUUUAAAAGUUUAGCCGACGAGAAAUAUAAUUUCGUCUGCUAAAGUGCUUUAAUUUCGACUGCUAAAGUGCCUUAUAUUUGCAGAUCUGGACAACAACUCAUCUGGGAAAAAAAACUAUACGUAGAACCUUCAAACGCAAAAAAGUCGUGAAAUAAGAUAUGACCAGAAUGGUGAAAUACGUCCACGGUUGAAAAAUCACGGUAUUCCGGUAAAGUCUCGGUGCCGAUAGUUGCGGUCAAUGCAAUUUACCCUUAUUAUUCAUUAUGCUGCAGAUUUGGUUUUUGGUGUCCGAUUGACUAUUGUGAUACCUUUCCGGAAGCGUAACGGCCCUACGAGUCAAACUCAUUGCUAAUGCCAUGUUGUAUGGGCCUUUUUGGCCAUCCGAGUCCGUUUAGGGCUUCAAAAUGCAGUUUUCUUAUUUCCGAUUAGAGUUGACCGUUUCGAUCGAGCCCUUAACGUUGUCGAAUCCAGUUGAAUUUUUUACCAUAGACAUCUUUCGUCAUAAUGAUGAUAUCGGACGGUCGAAUUUUGGUUUGUAAAUUUUAGUCAUCGGAAUCACAACGUGUCUACUAUUUACCGUUAUUAUUUCCUAUGGGGAGCCCUAUCGUCGGAAGGUAAAUGUCUCAAAAUUUUUAUAUGGGCAGUUGCGUCUCAUCUACGUGAGAGUUUUUUGUGUGGAAGGUUUGACCAAACCACGUAAUAUAGAGGGAGAUAUGAGCGUUUUCGUGUGAUAAGUGACGAUGGAUUAGGGUUACCUGUUUCGAUCGAGUCCUUAACGUUGUCGGAUCUAGUUGAAUUUUUUACUAUAGACAUCUUUCGUCAUAAUGAUCAUAUCUGACGAUCGAAUUUUGGUUUGUGAAUUUUAAUCAUCGGAAUCACAACGUGUCUACUAAUGUUAUAUAACUUAUUUAGUAGGUUAUACAACUUUGUGAACCAACUCUAUAUAGGAAGCAAAAUUAUCAAAAAUCUCGUGAAAUAAGAUGUGUUCAGAAUGGUGAAAUACGGCUAUGGUUCAAAAAUCACGUAAAUCGGGUAAAGUCUCGGCGCCGAUAGUAGCGGUCAACCCUAUUUACCGUUAUUAUUCCCUAUGGGGAGCCCUAUCGUCGGAAGGCAAAUGUCUCAAAAUUUUUAUAUAGGCGGUUGCGUCUCAUCUACGUGAAAGUUUUUCNNNNNNNNNNNNNNNNNNNNNNNNNNNNNNNNNNNNNNNNNNNNNNNNNNNNNNNNNNNNNNNNNNNNNNNNNNNNNNNNNNNNNNNNNNNNNNNNNNNNNNNNNNNNNNNNNNNNNNNNNNNNNNNNNNNNNNNNNNNNNNNNNNNNNNNNNNNNNNNNNNNNNNNNNNNNNNNNNNNNNNNNNNNNNNNNNNNNNNNNNNNNNNNNNNNNNNNNNNNNNNNNNNNNNNNNNNNNNNNNNNNNNNNNNNNNNNNNNNNNNNNNNNNNNNNNNNNNNNNNNNNNNNNNNNNNNNNNNNNNNNNNNNNNNNNNNNNNNNNNNNNNNNNNNNNNNNNNNNNNNNNNNNNNNNNNNNNNNNNNNNNNNNNNNNNNNNNNNNNNNNNNNNNNNNNNNNNNNNNNNNNNNNNNNNNNNNNNNNNNNNNNNNNNNNNNNNNNNNNNNNNNNNNNNNNNNNNNNNNNNNNNNNNNNNNNNNNNNNNNNNNNNNNNNNNNNNNNNNNNNNNNNNNNNNNNNNNNNNNNNNNNNNNNNNNNNNNNNNNNNNNNNNNNNNNNNNNNNNNNNNNNNNNNNNNNNNNNNNNNNNNNNNNNNNNNNNNNNNNNNNNNNNNNNNNNNNNNNNNNNNNNNNNNNNNNNNNNNNNNNNNNNNNNNNNNNNNNNNNNNNNNNNNNNNNNNNNNNNNNNNNNNNNNNNNNNNNNNNNNNNNNNNNNNNNNNNNNNNNNNNNNNNNNNNNNNNNNNNNNNNNNNNNNNNNNNNNNNNNNNNNNNNNNNNNNNNNNNNNNNNNNNNNNNNNNNNNNNNNNNNNNNNNNNNNNNNNNNNNNNNNNNNNNNNNNNNNNNNNNNNNNNNNNNNNNNNNNNNNNNNNNNNNNNNNNNNNNNNNNNNNNNNNNNNNNNNNNNNNNNNNNNNNNNNNNNNNNNNNNNNNNNNNNNNNNNNNNNNNNNNNNNNNNNNNNNNNNNNNNNNNNNNNNNNNNNNNNNNNNNNNNNNNNNNNNNNNNNNNNNNNNNNNNNNNNNNNNNNNNNNNNNNNNNNNNNNNNNNNNNNNNNNNNNNNNNNNNNNNNNNNNNNNNNNNNNNNNNNNNNNNNNNNNNNNNNNNNNNNNNNNNNNNNNNNNNNNNNNNNNNNNNNNNNNNNNNNNNNNNNNNNNNNNNNNNNNNNNNNNNNNNNNNNNNNNNNNNNNNNNNNNNNNNNNNNNNNNNNNNNNNNNNNNNNNNNNNNNNNNNNNNNNNNNNNNNNNNNNNNNNNNNNNNNNNNNNNNNNNNNNNNNNNNNNNNNNNNNNNNNNNNNNNNNNNNNNNNNNNNNNNNNNNNNNNNNNNNNNNNNNNNNNNNNNNNNNNNNNNNNNNNNNNNNNNNNNNNNNNNNNNNNNNAUUUUCAAAAUUUUCAAAAGAGUUUAGCCGACGAAAAUAAAGAAUUUCGUCGGCUAAAGUUCUUUAUAUUACCGAAGGUGGAUGGUAAGAAAUCUGUUUCACCUGCCAGAUUUUCUUCUCGGCCUAGCUCCGCCGUCAAGCCACCGGAGACCGCCACACUAGUCCCAAAAGCUUCGUCGUCGUCUCUACUUCAUUGCUGGAUAGGUGGUGCAUCGAGUGGCGCCGCCGUGAGAGAUAAAUCGAGCUCCAAAACUCCGCCGGUUCGGAUUUGGUGUCGAUCGAAUUUCUCCUUCCUCAGGUCACCAUUUGGUGAGUUCUAUAUAUGAAUAAGUUGAGUUUGAUUAGUACUACAUUCCCCUAGAAUUUGGUAGCUCGAUUCGGUAUGUGUGAGGAGAAUCGAAGAUUUGAAGUUUUUAGGGUUUAAAAUUAGGGAUUUUUAUAUUUUGAUUCAAUUAACCUAUUUAGGCUUAGAAUUGGGCUUUGACUUCUUCUAGAAAGUUGUUCGAAAUGUUGAGAAGAAGAUUCUGUCAAAUUUGGGGGUGAUUGGAGGUGGCCGAAAGUUUCUGUAGUUUUUUUUCAAAAACCAGCAACUUUAGCCGACGAUAUUUAAAGGUUUAGCCGACGAUAUUUAAAGGUUUAUUCGUCGGCUAUAGUAUUUUUAAAUUUUUUUAUAAGGUUUAGCCGACGAAUUAUGGCAUAUUUCGUCGGCUAUAGUUAUUUUUAAAUUUUUAUAAGGUUUAGCCGACGAAUUAUGGUAUAUUUCGUCGGCUAUAGUUAUUUUAAAAUUUUUAUAAGGUUUAGCCGACGAAACAGACUAUAUUUCGUCGGCUAUAGUUAUUUUUUAAAAAUUUUUUUUAUAAGGGUUUUAGCCUACGAAACAUACUAUAUUUCGUCGGCUAUAGUCUGGGAAAAAUUUUUUUAUUACAGACUUUAGCCGACGAAUAUCUUAAUUGUUUCGUCGGCUAAAGUCUAGGAAAAAAACCGACGACAUGUUUUUCGUCGGCUAAACUGCGGGACUAUAGCCGACGAAAUUUUUUUUUCGUCGGCUAAAGUCAUCACAGACGAGCUUUUCCCGACGAAAUCUUGGCCGACGAUGGCUCGUCGGCUAAGAUCUUAGCCGACGAAUUAAGCUAACAGUUUUCGUCGGCUAAAUUUUUCGUCGGCUAAAGUGCUUGUCUUGGUAGUGUUGACAGAAUAGGUAGGUAUUUUACAUUGUGUAAUACCCCGGAAAUUUGAUAUUAGUUUCUAAUUUUAUUUAGGAAUUUUUGAGUUAGAAGUUAGUGUGUUUUGAAGUUCGAAGGAAGAGCGGAAGGGUUCGGAUGCGUAAAUUGCCUGAACCGGUUUUAUGGUUCUGAAGGGUCAACAGUUGACUUUCUAAUCCGUUGGGUUUCUCGAGAAACUUCCUUCACGAAAGUUGUAGAGCACGACGAUACGAGUUCGUAAACACGUGGCACGCGUAAAACGGACUUCGUAUGAGAAAGUUAUGGUCAGCAGAAGUUGUGGCUUUUCGGGAAUAUUUAGGUUAAAUAGGAAAAUUUCGUUUUGGGUUCUCUUAUUUUUCAGAAUUCCUUUUCUUCCCCUUUCUUCUCUCUCCCCGACCCCGAGAGAACCCAAGCUUCCCAGCCGACCCGACCCGGACCCGGUUGACCCGACCCGGACCCGGUUGACCCGACCCGGAUUUUCCGGCCAUCUCCGGCCGACCCAGGCGACGGCACCGGUCGGAGUCGUUUCUCCUUGGCGGCGCAAUCUUCCCUGUGUUGGUGGAUGAGGAUGACCCGAGCUGAGCUGUGCAAGUCGAGCGCCACAGUGAGGGCGGGCGACCCGGUUUGCAACCCGAUCGGUUUCCUACCUCCGACGGCGGCGACGCAGCUUGGAAACGGUCGGGAUAUGAAGUGUUGGACGUCCUCGUUCUAUCCCUGGUGGUGUUGAAGCUCAACUCAAGGCGGAGAGUGGCGGUGGUGGAUCCCAAUCUUUCCGGCGAGUUUCCGGCUUGUUUCCGGCCGAUUGGGGCGAAACCUCAGGUAUAAAAGAUGCUCCCCUCUCUUUAAUCUUCAAGUUUUGUGUUGGGAGUUUGUCUUAAUUCGAAAGUUUUGGGGUGGCGCGUGGGGCCCACUCGCUGCCGUCGGUGGUGGCGUGUCCGGCAGGGGUUUGGGAGGUCUAUAGUCCUUGUUAGGUGGUGCUCAUCAAUACGAGCACGUUAGCAUGUAGAUUGUAGGUUUUAGAGUUGUUUGAGCAUGUUAGGGUUUGGUGAAGUUCUUCUAGGGCGUGUGGGGCCCACUCGCCGCCGCCUGUGGUGGCGUGUGGCGACGCGCCCGGUAGUGUCUGUGGUGUUUGUGGUGCUGGUUAGGUAGUGCUCAUCGAUACGUUUGUGUUGAUUUGUGGUUUUUAGAUUUUGGUUGUCAAUAAUUGCAUGCUUGGACUUUUUGGUUAAUCUUAGAUUUGUGGAAGGUUUUUAAGUGUCCUACGACCUUGGGAAGUCUCGGAAGAAGGUUGCCCCCUUUUUGGCAAUCUUGGGUUAAACCUUGUUUAAGGGUGCAAUGUUAUGUUGUUUAAAUAAUUAUUAAGGAUGACUUUGUGUUAUCUAGGUGAUUGGCGAUUUUGGUGUUUUGCUUGUUCUUGUGGAGUUUAGUUUUGAGCUAGACGCUUGUGUUUGUGUGAAGACGCAGCGGGAGUAAAGGUGAGUAAAUCGCACCAAGGUUCAUGUUUGAACCAAAUUUUAUUAUGGUUAUGUGAUGAUGAUAAUGAUUAUGAUAUUUAAAUUAAUACUAUGCUUUUAAUUGUUUUAAAAUAUACGAGCUUGAUCGUCAACGGCUCAUAAGUAAGAUAAAACAAGUUUUCCUAAUUAUUAUUAAGUUAUUCCUGUGGAAUAAUAUUUUUAUUGUUCAUAAUAUUAUAUCCUUGUGAAGGAUAUAAUCAUAAGAUGUGAUCUUGUGUUAUGAUGAUUGUUGGAUAAAUAGCCUAGCCGGGUUCUAAGCUUUUAAUCGGGUGAUUGGUUGCGGUUAAGAUGCUAUUUAUCAUUUUUAUGUUUUGAUAUUAAAUAGCCAAACCGGGUUCCAAGCCUUUAAUCAGGUGAUUGGUUGCGGUUCUGAUGCUAUUUAUUAUUGUGUUUUGGUAUUGGACAGUCAAACCGGGUUCCAAGCCUUUGGCCGGGUGAUUGGUUGCGGUUAGGAAUAGAGCUCUAGUCCGUCUGUCAGUGUAGGUCAUGGGAGGUACCUGAAGGUAUCUGGGACCCAUGGGUACAUAAAUUGUGUUGUAGGUCAUGAGAGGUAUUUAUUAAUAUAUGGGACUCAUGGGUACAUGUGUUUGUAAGAGUAUUGGUUAUGUGGUUUUUAACCUUGUUCUUAAUUGUUGUCGAUGAAAUUCUUUGUUUUGAGUAUCUCCUGAACUAUGCUUAAUGCAGGAGAUUCUCCAAUUUAAUUGUGUGAUUUUGAGUGAAAUUCCUGAACUAUCCUGUUUGCAGGAUUCACUUAUGAUUUUAUUGUUUUGAAGUGAUUCAUGAACUAAGUUCUAAAGCAGGAAUUACCGGUUUAUCUUAUGUGGUGUUAGAGAUGUUGAGUAAAUUUUGAGAAUUACUCAUACGAGCUUUUUAGCUUACCGGGUUUGUUGUUUACAACCCGGUGCACCAAUUCAUGGUGUAAGGGUUAGACUUGCAGGUGUUGAUCAACAGGGUUGAGGCAGAGGCAUAGUGGCUGGGGUUUAGAUGAUGUACAUUUUAUUUGUAUAUUAUGUAAGUUGUUUUAAGCUCGUGUGAGCAUCUUCUUUUUACUAGACUUUUGAAGUUGUAAAUAAAGAGAUGUAAUGUUUAACUCAGUCGAUGAGUUUUGUUGACAUUUACAUUUCCAGCAUUUAAGUUUAGUAGGGAUUUGUUGAGCAGGUCAUGUAGUCUUAUUUGUGAGUUAUAUCAUGCCCUAAAUUUUUGAAAUUUAUCCUUCGAAAAUUGGGGUGUGACACAUUGAGUUAUCUUAGUAUUGCUACUGAAAAGGUUUUUUUUUUUUUGGUUUCCUUUAUAUCGUUCUGGGGGUUUGAGGAACAAACAAACUCCACAACCAGAAAACCUCCGCAAUCACCACCACCGCCAUACCAGCUUUCAAACCCCGCCAGCUCAUGAGAAAGGCGGACACCUUUACCACAAAGCUGACGGGAAAACCAGUACUGCUACUGAAAGUUAUGUAAAGUAAUGGGAGGCUGUUGGUUCAGUGACUUUUAUUCUUUUUCUCUGUGAAUCUAUACGCUAUGGGAAGGACAAUGUAUGAAUCUAUAAAUUAACAAUAUCAUUUCGUAACAGGUUUUAUUGGUUCCAAGAUCCUGAAACAGCGGUUCAUCAAGGAUUGCAUUAUCCAGAAAAGAUUGAUGGAUAAUUAAGAAUACAUUAGCCCUUGUAUCGAACAAGAGAAGUCUAGUGAUAAAGGAUGUACAUUUGGCCCACCCCGUCAUGAUGAAAACUUUUCAUGCAGUUCACAAAGGAUCCAAAAUGGAGAUUCUUCAGAAGCUAAUGACUUGGACAAUAUAUGUCAAUGGAAUGAGUUGUGGACCAAGGAGAAGCAGUUCCACAAAAGAUUUGGUUACUUCCACUAUUUGAGGAAGAAGAAUAAGAGAAACCACAUUGUAAUGUGACAGUUGUUAGAGAGCUGAUGCGAGCGCUUCGAGAAGCAUCAGAUCCUACAUUGCAUAGUCUUAAGCUUCAUUUGUUUAUUUCCUAGGUGAACUAGGAAAAGUGUUCCUCGAUCAGUAAAACUGAGGAGCUAUGUUGUUUUAAUCCUGAAAAUUUGAAGGCAUUCAAAAGGCUGGUAAAGUGAAUACAUGGUUACAUAAAAUAAGUGGUGAAAUAGAACAUCUUAAAUCGACAAAUGCAACUGUGACAUAAAUUUAGAAGGUACUCAUGUCUGAACAUAAUAGAGACAGAACUCACUCCAAUUUUCUUUGUUGGAUGCCUCCGUGUUCUUGUCAGGGUCUAAUUAACAAGAAAUAUUCUUUACUAAUACUUUAAAAAAAAAAAAAACAUAACAUUCAAAGCUUUCGGGCUAACCAAAUUAUGACUUAGAAAUCUCAAAAAUAAACGCUGAAUUUUGGUUGUAUUUUUUCACCUCUCAAACUACAAAAAGCUAGUCAGAAGUCUAUGUUUGCAGGUAGCUAGACUAUGAAAAAAAUAUGUUCUUCAAAUUCCCCCCAAAUUUUUCUUUUUUCUUCAACGGUAUGUAUUCCCUCUUAAAAGCAAGUUUGAAUUUAAUUGAAAUAUUUGGCGAAGGCAAUGUGAACACGUGACUUUUUGCCUGCGGACAAGAAUAUACAUCUGAACAUAGGCCCGCAGCUGAUAACAAAUAAAAACAUGCCACGUCAACCUUGUCAAACCGAUUUCAGAGUCCGCCAAAGUUAAAUUUACGAAAUUGCACCUCAGCUGUGGACCUUUAUAACCCGCAUUCCACCGACUUUAGAUUUUCUGGGUUUCCUCUCUUUUCUGACAGCAAGAUUGCCUGGGUUUCUAGAACGUUUCUCUGCAAAAUUUGAGUGAUCUCCUCUAGAGGUACCUCUUCUUCUUCGUCUUCUUCUUUGGUUUCCUUUCCCAAAUUUCCAUAUGAAUUGUUCUCUGGGUCUCUGAGCAUGGUUCUUUUUCUCUUACUGUUGAGGGUUUUGGGCUAUGGGUUCUUGGUAACGAGGGUUUCAAGCUUUGGCUAAUUUGCCAAAUUUUGUUGCAAUUUUUUCCUUUUAUGAAUCUUUAAGAGUAUUGGGUAUGAUUAGAGCAACUAAUUUCCGUUGUAAAUUGACUUUGUUGAAUUGGGGUUACAGGGUAGUUUGAAUUGAUGGGUUUAUUCUACCGUGUUCAUGGCUUCAUCUCUGUUUAUUGGUUUCUGCAAUUUGGGCUAGUUCCAUUACAUCUUGUUUCUUUUCCUGCAUUUCUUUUUUACUACUAAAAAUGGGUUCUUUUGAGAUGGGGGCUUUGGUUUAACAAAAGGGUUCUACAAUUGGGUUCUUUUUUUGAUGGAAGGAUCAAUGAGCUUUUUCCAGGUCUUGGUGUCAUGUACAGUUGUUGUAAGGGUAAAGAGUUAUGAAUAGAGAAGUUAGCUACUGCAAUACAUCUCAUUUUGUUUAGUUGGGGACUUGGGUGUAGUAUAAAAAUGGUUACUACUCUUCAUGGGUUCAUCUGUUCUAUUGCCUUAUCUAUUGUGUUACUGUUGGUACUCCCAGAAAUUUUAUUAGGAACAUAAUUAGGCUUGUUAAUUGACAACUCUGCAUAUCAUUAUGUUGGUAUCAUCUUAGUGGAAGUUUUGGAUACUUAAACAUAGGUUCUCCCAGAUGUGACUGUGAGUGACAUUGAGAUGCUUAGAAUCACUAUAGAGCAGCUAUUAUGGAUUUUUAAACGUAUCAAUGCUGUUAGACAGUUGUGAAUACAAGUGCCUUAACGAUUUACUAUCCUUCUAGGUUCUGGAAAAUUGCAUUGCAUUGGGUUGAGAAUAGACAUGGUGAUUGAAAAGUCAGUGCCUCCCUUGGCAUCAUCAAAAGGAACUCUGUCACGAAGUAAUGUUCCUUUUCAGGAAAGAUUGGGAAGGUUUCCAAUGGAGAUUGGCGAGUGCUCUUCCCAUACUAAGCCACCUGAGGGUAAGAGUACUCAUAGACGCUCUGGUAUUUGUGAUGUUUCAUUAGGGAGUGGACCAAGAGCUCGGGUAAGCAGUUUGAGACCUAUCAGAGAAGCGGCUUCUGUUGGUAUUUCAAAGGAAGAGAUGGCUACAGGAGAAGAGUCUCAUAAUGAAGAUGGCAUGCGAAUGAAGGUGAAAGCUGCUCAGCGCUCAUUUUGGUUUGCUUUUAGAACUCUAAAAGAUGAUGAUCCAAAGGGUAGGAGGUUUGAUGCUAAGGCGGCAAAGGUUGUCAAGGCAAGUGGACGGUCUGUGAAUGAAGGGAAGCCAAUAAUUGGGAUUGUGCCGGGUGGUGAUGUUGGUGACGAUUAUACAUAUAGAGCACAACUCGGUGUAAUUGGGUUGCAUAGACCAAUUAGGGCAGGUAUUGAUUUUGUUAGGCAUGGUGGCAAGAGGCUUGCCACUAGCAUUGUGGCCUCGGGAAGCUAUGAGGAUGACAUCAAAAAUAAGAAGUCUAUCAAAUACACUGGCCAUGGGGGCAACUACAUGAAUGAAGAGAAGAAGAAAUAUGAUCAAAAGUUAGAGAGAGGAAACCUUGCUCUGAGGAAUAGUUUUUACAUGAAAAAUUUGGUGAGGUUGAUUCAUAGGAUCAAGAACUCGGAUGGUGAAUACAAGUAUGUUUACAAGGGACUGUUUUUGGUGACCAAGUGCAGCCGGAAAAGAGGAAGACAUGGAAAGCUUUUAUGGGAGUUUCACCUUGUUUUCAUUCACAAGGGUUGAGAAGCUCUGAUUUGUAACCCUCUCUAUGUUUAUAGAUCUCUCUCUCUAUGCUUAAGCCACCAUGUAUAGGCUCAUUAGGCUUUAUGGUUCAAAUAUAUUGUUUAGCAUUCAUGUACUUGACGGGAUGUUAGAAUAUACUAGAUUUGCUAAUGAGAUUUUUCAGAACUUUGGCAGCCUAGCUAUUAUUAUUUUGAGACGAUUUAUUGCUGAAUGGUUGUGUUAUGCUUCAUGCAUUUCUGCAUAUAAGGCUUUAAGUUUAGUUUUCUUCUUUUCUUUUAGUGCCAACUCAAGAAGAAGAAAAAGGUGUUGCUUCCACCAUGUGAUAUGUGUUAGAACAUAAUGCACAUUGGUCAAUAAGUAAUCUACUAGAUCAAUGAAGAAAAGCCUAGAAUAAUGCUGUAAUGAUCAUGAGAUGUAAUUAAGUCCUAGAGUUGUCUAGAGCUAGCAAAUGAUCUAGCUUGAUCUAGACUAAUCCAAUAGGUCGGUGGCUUAGUAACAAGGUCGGUUGACAAGUCAUAUAUAUACAUGUAGUAAACAGUAAACACAAUCAGAUGAGUGAAUGAAUUAAUGAAGCAAGCUAUUGAAGUAUAGUAAUUCCUCCUCUGUUUCCAUAUCCCUCUAUCUUAACCUCCUAAACUACUUGUCCUAAUAACAAACCUUCUCUCAAGUCUAGCUCCUAAACACCUUGUCCUAAACAUAUUGUUCUAGCCCACUACAUUCCAAACACUUCCGCAAGCUAAACUCCGAUUGUGGUAAUAAGCCACAAACUCUAAAAGUGGAACACCCACAAUAAUUUCUAACAAUGGUAUCAGAGCCUAGUGCGAUGAAAGCCUUGGAGCGUUAAAUUUAUCAGAGCUUGCUUCGAUCAAAUUUAGACGUUAAAAUUGUCCACCGUAUCUACCUCCACCUCCAACCAAUCAUCAAUUACUCUUCCUAUCUUCAAGGGGGAUAACUAUGACUUUUGGAGUAUCAAAAUGAGGACUUUCUUCAUGUCUCAAGAUCUAUAGGACAUUGUAGAUAAAGUGUUCUCAACUUCGGAAAAUCCAACGCUGGAGCAACUACGACAAGAAAAGAAAGAAAAGCAAAGAGAUGCGACGACACUAUUUGCAAUCUAACAAGUGAUGGACGACACAAACUUUUUAAGAAUCAUGGGAGCUACUACAUCAAAAGAAGCUUGAGAUCUACUAAAGGAGGAGUUCCAAUUAAGGAACUCAAAGGCACAUUCCCUCAAACUACAAACAAUGAGGAGAGAAUUAAAAAAUAUAAAAAUGAAAGAUUUUGAGAUUGUAAAAGAUUAUUAUUCUCGCAUUAAGAAAAUAGUAUAUCAAUUAAGAAAAUAUUAAUGAGACUAGAGUACUAGAAAAAAAAUACUCAUUAGCCUCACUAUAAAAUAUAAUCCAAUAGUUACUGCAAUUGAAAAUUUUAAAGACAUUUCACACAACAAUUUGCUUCUCGUAUCGACGAAUUAGAAGAGAUGUUAACCGGCAACCGUAUUUGGAAACAACGAUUAGUGGAUAUUGGUGACAAAAUUAAUAGGUUAUGUUUGAGCCCAAUUUUAUAUUCUGGUUAUCUUGUAAUAAGUUAGCCCAAGGGCCAAUACCUACGGUCCAAAUAUCUGUAUAUCAUUAGAUAUCUUAAGGAUUCGGUUAUGUGAUUUGAGUAGGAGAAUAUCUCUCAUGAUUCGAUUAAGAAUCUGAUUGCCUUGAUGCGCAAGUCAUUCGCGAACCUAUCUUAUAUAAAAGAGGUUCUAGGGCAAAUAAGGAAAAGGACGAACAAAUCAACAAACCCUUGCACCCUGCAUAUUAGACGCCUCUCCAGGAGCACCCAAUCUACCAAAAAGCCUCUUCAGGAGCACCAUCAAGCCUCAUCGCGAGCAAAAAUCCGCUUCACUCACCAAAAGCCUCGAUCAUGAGCAAAGCCCGCCCCCAGACCAUAAAGCCUCAAUCACGAGCACAAGCCCACCAAACCAUUGUUAUAGAGCCCCUCUCUAGCAAAUAUCCCUUUUAUUUUGUUGUUGAAGUAAAUCCUAGGGGUUUCCUUAUGUCGUAAGAAAGAAUCUAGCAGCAUGAUUGACCGCUCUUGCUUAAAAGUAUCAAGACUAGAUAGUUGCACCAACUCAGAAGUGCUGACAUGCUACACAAAGCCGGUUGUUUAAAGAAAGUCAAAUUUCACCCCGAACAUAUUGGCACUGCCCAAGCGGGACAUAUCAGUGGCAAGAUUGCGUCCGACAAUAUCUAUGAAAGGAAUUAUCUAUGCGUUCCUUACCGGAACAUUUGCACUGCAAACCUCACAAUCCACUGAAGUGCAAAAGCUUGACUAUUGAGCAAGUCAAUAAGCGUAUUCAGUUUAGAAACGAUGACUGGAGGAUCUGGAGUCAAGAAACUUGUCUCUCAAUAGCAGCCACAUGAUAUAGUUGAUCAAAUCCGUAGCAUGAAAGAAGAACUAAUCAAAGAGCAGGAAGAGAUGAUGUCAAUAGUUGCGGAUAUCUUUGAAGGAAUCAAAAGGAUGGAUGACCAAGUUUCCCGGCUUUGGGGCAAGAUGGAAAGUCACUCUGAAACUAUCCAAGAGCUCAAGGACAUUGCUGCCAAAUUGAAUGCAAUUGUCGUUGACAAGGUUCUUUGCAACACAGAUAAUAGCUCAGAAGGGAACGUUGUGUUGCAGCGAACACUUUUCCCGGAUGAUAAACUUGUGGAUUCCAUAGCUUCCAAAUCUCCUACUCUCAAAACCGGAGGACAGAUAGUGCUCAAUGUGACUCCACCAAAUGCCGGUCAAGUGAGGCCUCAUGUUAAUCCAACCUUCCGAGACCGAAUGUAGAGGAGCCAGUUGUGCAACCAGCACAAUAGGUAGGCGCGAAUAUAAUCAAUCUGCCUGUGGAUAUCCCAUCUCUCAUGGAAUAGAUGAUGCAGUGUUUUAGAGCUGAGGUAGCAGCACCUGCUGUGAACCUCACGUACAAGAAUCCUUACUCUGAUUAAGUCGCGAAGGGUCAGAAGAUGCAGCAACUUAUAUCUCUAGGUUUCAAGGCAAAUAAAGUCCCUUCAGGAACGAUGCUAUGUUGAAAUUAAAAUUUUUUGGUUCGUCCUCGGGUUCAGCUCUGACAUGGUAUACUAAAUUGAUACUUGGGUCUAUCCCUAAUUGUCCCACUAUGGAACCAAUGUCCAGAACCACUUUUGGUAAUCACUACUUCUUACUGGAUAAAUGCUGUUGGAGAUUUCACAUGAUAGAAUCAAUUUUUGCUUCUUUAACUGUUAGGAGAAUUGCAGAUCAACAGAAGUUUUUGAUACCAAAUCGUGUUGAAUUGAAUCGUUGUUGGUACCCUUUGUACUAGAAUCUACAUAGAGAGCUAUAGAGCAUAUUGGAUGUCAUGUUUUAGUUGUUGCCUUACCCUAUCAUUCUUGGUUGCUAGAUACAUGCCCUUCUUGAAAGGUGUUCAGGGUCUGGCAUUGCUAACUAACAGCUCUAGAAAGACCCCAAGGGUGGACAACUUCUAAGUUCUAACCCUGUUGUUCAUGGUCUAGUGAGUGGAAUAUUGGUAAGGAGUUUAGCUCUGGUUUUCAGCAUUUGUUCCAGAAGUGCUGCAGCUAUGACUCUAUACUUAGGAGAAGGUAUAAUGGACUUAGAAUUACUGCAACUUCAAAACUAUACUUGGGAGAAGGUAUUGCGCAAGACACUAAAUUUGAAAUAUAGAAGACGAAACAUAUAGGAGGAUAUAGUUAAUUUACAACUUUACAUUACAUUUAUACAUAUAUAGAGUAUAGUUCCUGACAUGAUCAGUACUUUCUUGCACUAGCUAACAUAAUCCAGAUUGCGAAAUAGACAGUACUAAUGCUACAUUGUUGGGCAUGGCUCACAGAGUGACCAAUUAUUACAAUUAACCACUUGAAAUAGCUUAGUUAACGAUGGCUGACCAACCACUUGGUAUCGGCAAAGAGGACAUACAUGAUUGUUUUUGAGCCAGUUGACAAUGCAGUCUCCAUGGAAACGGUGUGAGCAAGGCAACCGAGCAACUACCCUCAAAGGGGGUGGCUCUUUUCUUGGCGUCUUAGCGAUGGUGCCGCUACUGCUUUGUAGUCCAAGCAGCCUCUUGCUCUUCCUCUUGGGCUGUUGUUUGAAUUGUUUCUUGCCUUUUUUAUCAACUAGGUCCUCCAUACAAAUAACACAAGAGUCUUCAAACCCCAAGAAGCAGCCAUCAACUCUCUCUUUCUCCAUACCCUCAACUGAUGAUAUCGCAUCGUCUAGAAAAGCAUCGCAAGCAGAUGUGAACAAGCACUCCUUCACUUCCACUAUGUCGACAUGAAUGACAGAAGCUGUUGAGGCCACUGCUGGAUCUUCUUUUUCGGCCACCCGGAAUACUUCUUCAAUACAAGAUCGUCGUACAUGAUCGGGGAGUGGCUCCUCCUUAAAUCGGCGUGAAAAGAAGUCGACCAUUCUCCAUGUAUACUCACUCCUGUUGGAUAAUAGCUCGCUUCGAGGAAGAUCAGAGAUGACGAGUUCGUCACCUUUAUGGUGGUAAGGUAUGCCAUCAGACAUGGUUUUACCAGGUUUCAAGGAGACUCCCAUCUUAGUGUAGAUCUUUAUCUUGAUCUCAACCGAGUCCUCGCCUUCCCAUCGAUUGGGGUCGCUUGUGAGCCACACUUCGCUCUCGAAUGAACGUUUCUCAAAAUACAUGAUUGCUUCCACUACCAGAAUAUGGAAACAAUCUGUAGUCGACGAUUGCUAUUAUAUAGGCAUGCUAGCUAGGUAGUCCGAAUUCGACGAGGACUACAAUCCUAAUGCUGUUAGGGUUUAGCUAAAAGGAUUUUUGGAGAUUUCCGAAUGGGAAGAGGAUUCCGCUUUUAUAGCCAGCGUGGACCUAACUCCUAAGCAACCAAGUAAAAUGCGUCCCAAAGAAAAGAAAAAAAAAAAAAAGGAAAAAGAAUAUAAAAUCGGUCAAAAUGACCCCAAAAAAGAAAAAGAAAAAAGGAAAUAUAAUCGCAAUUAUAUAUGGUCAUUCUCAUUGUAUAGGUGUCAACCAGCUGUGCUUUGUGGCCACCGCAGACCACAAUAACGAUUCUCUGUUGCCCUCCACUGUUGCUCUCCUUCAACUCUAUAUAGCAACCUCACCCUCAUCUUCCAUCCCUUAUUCUCUUCCCCUACUACUUCGUCUUCAACCCUCACUUUCCUCUGUUGCAUUUCACUCUAGCUCAUUCACACGUACGUACGAGGCCAUGGCUCUCACACCUGCCAUGCUCGCCCUCACACUCUCACUCUUCCUCCUCCUAGCUUCAUUCUCCACAGCUCAACCACCCUCCUACUCCCCAACAUAUGCUCCCAUGACCACUCCCUCCACACCUGCGCCAACAACCACCAUCACUCCGCCACCGACCGUUUCAGCUCCUCCUCCCAUGGUCACUGCCACUCCGCCGACCAGUAUGCCUCCUUCAAUGCCUCCGAUGACUUCCACCAGCCCUCCUUCAAUGCCUCCAAUGACUUCUUCUACUCCUAUGCUCAGCCCUACAAGCCCAGCCCCGUCUACUAUGAUGAGCUCGCCGCCUGCACCAGCCGCACCAGGUGAAUCUCCCAUGGCGUCUACUCCAGGUUCAGGUGCAGUUGUUCAUGGAGUUAACAUGGCCUUGCAGCCAUUCCUGGCCGGAUCAGCUAUUGCUCUACUACUCCUUGCUUGAUUGAACUUAACGUACGUAGAUUUAUAUUGCUAGUAUAUCUGUGUAUCCUCUUUACAUUUUUGUUCUUUUUUUCCUUUUGUCUAUUUUUUUUUCUCUUUUGUUUGGUUAGUUCUGAUUUUUGGGAGCUCCAUUGUGAUUUCUAAGAGGAGAUUUAUCGGAUGUACGUACGUAUGUACUUAUGUUAAUAACGUACUCUUCAAUAGUUUGUAGCAUUUUUCAUAGAUGAAUAAGAGAGCCCGGCCGUCAUUCUUGUUUUGUGUAUAGAAGUGUGUACUAAUCAAUAAUUACAGUUGUUUACCUGCAUAGUUAAACUGCAAACACCUAAAACCUAAUCGAUCCUGUAUAUAUGAUCGGGUUCAAUUUACAGUUCGAUCGCCUACCACUCAUACCCUAGCUGGUACAGCAUUUCUAUAUUUCAUUUCAAUAUACGUGAUAAUAAUAAAUUGGGUCUGGAAAUUCAAAAUUUACUUCCCAACAAUAUCUCCAACUGUAUAUGUAUAUCAAAAACCCUAACACUCUUAGAGUUGAUCAAUGAAAUGGUGGUUGGGUUGUUGAAAUGGGUGGAUAGAGCAGUGAUAUUUCUGUGGAAAUAUCAAUGGAACAUAUAUGAUAGUGGAAUUUGUACAUGGUGGGGAAGGAAUGGGAUGAGAAAAUGAUAAAGUUAGGUGCAGCAUUAGCUAGGGUAACUAGUAAAGGAAUAAUGUGUGGAAGAAAUGGGAUAUGGUGAAUUGCAUAUUAGGAUAGGAUACAUGCGCGCAUGCAUUGCGUUCCAGCUUUGCUUGGUAGUCUUGUUUGUGAUCUUUUUAUGGUGGGUUAAAGGAUUAGAGGGAGAUAGAAAUGGCAUGGCCAGCCAAGCUCAAAUGGGAAUGAUCGACAUGAAAGCACAAGGCAUCCAAAGGAAUGGUACUUAUUCAUGGGGUAUGUGGGGUUUGAUACGCAUAUAUGGUGACAAAACAUAUAAAUUGGAAAGUGAAGUGCACAUGACUCCUACUACUAGUUGCCCCCACGAAACAUACAUAUAGGUGAGCCGUGAGCGAGAGGUCGAUCACGAAUCCAUUAACUUCUUCCUUUGUGUAAAUUCUAGCUUCUCGUGUUUUUUUUACAGUUAGAUCAUCAAUAAGUUGUGAAAACAGUUAUGCAUACAAGUAGAGGAUCCAGGAAAAACUACUUUGGCAUAAUAUUGGUUUCUUUUAGUUGAAUACAAGGAAUUACAUUACGCAUGCAUACAUUUCCACUACAAUGAGUUCCAAAACGAUGACAAUUGAUUGACCGAGAGACUGAGAGAGCCCUCCGAUCCCCCCGCUAAUAUUUAAGAAGGAAUGAUCGGACUCAUCGGAGUGCUAAUUACUUUCCUGAAACUCUGAAAGAGUUCCUCAAAAUGCCAUAGAUUGGCUUAAGCAUCAGGGAGUUGUAGCUAGGAAUAACUACUUGAUAUGUUUAGGGUAAAAUGACCUAUCCCUACUUUCAGCUGGCCAACUUCUAGAAAGAAAUAUAUAGCAGAUGUUUCUUCAACAGACGUAACUAUGUGCUCACAGUUAUGAGAGAGAGAAGGGAUAAUUUGGUGACGACUAGCUAGCUUACAGCAGGCAAUCAAUGAGUGAUGCAUGGUGGUCUGCGUACGUAUGAACAACCGUGAGUGCUUAUGGCACUACAAAGGAAUAAUCCAAAUGGACGAUGUGACAAAUAACAUGUAAUGCGAAAAAACCACAUGCACCGUGUUGGUCACUAGAAUUUGGAACUUUGGAAUAUAACUAUUUGUAUAUAUACUUGCAUAUCAAUUGCAGUAUGAGUUCAAUUUAGUCAUGGUAUGUGGUAUGUCUGAGUUCAAUACGUACGAUCAAACAUUCACAUCAGCAGGUUAAUUAGUGUGAGUUAUUCUGCUUAGGUCUCAUUCUUCAAAACUUGCUCAUCUUGAAACAGUUUAAUCAUUUAGUGUUAACCUUGAAGGCUUGAACUCUCAUUCAGUUGAACCCAAUUUGAGUUGAGGAUUGGUUACUUGUCCUUCCAACUCAAUCUCAGAUCGCCUAACAAACAAUGAAACAAAUCACCUCCUAGGAUCUUAUUAUUUUUACAUUAUCACUUCCUUGCUAUUACGUACAGAAUCCAAAACUCCCAAAUUAUUCCCAAUUAUGUAAAUCACAAGGAAUAUAUGUACGUGUGCCCUGCUUUGCUGAUUAGAUUCGUAUACGUAGUAAAAGCAAAUAAUAUGAAUGGCGUAGUUUCACGAUCAGAAACAUAAAGCUAAAGUUUGUAUAGAUUAAAGCAUUGGAUGCCAUUCAAAGAUCCAACAAUUCAGAACCAUCAUACUAUAAGCUUUAUAUGUCUUUUACCUUUUUCUAUGAAGACAGACACCAAACUACAAUGUUCUCAUGAAUGAAAUUAAGAGACAAGAAUAUAUACAUAGCCACAUGUCAGGCUGAUUAUUAAUGAGAAACCCUAAUGCGCGUGUAGAAAACCCAGAGAAUUUUCCUAUCAUAUGGGAUUCAAGAUUCUUAAGCGCACUUGGUUUAAGUUGUAUCCUGGUUUGACAUAGACCAAACUCUUUAGUCUGUGCUUUACGAUUGAUUUGAAUUGUGAAAGAAAUGGACUUAUAUUGCAUCAAGCAGCGGAAAAAUGAUCGAGCCAGCUUUAGUGCUACCAAUUUCAAAGUUGAUGGGUUCUCAGCAGGGCAAGACCUCACAUUAAAUGAAAGAUACUCCACACAAUUUAAUUUACGAAAACUAGAAAAGAGACAAUUAGUGAUGUUUUGUGGUUGGAACUUGGAAAGUUUGGGCAAAUUCUGCUUAAUUUAAACAGACAAAUUAAGAUUGAAAGCUAUGCAACUUCCAACUCUAAAAAGCUCAGUCACAUUAUUGCAUACACACACACACACUUAUUUAUGGUAGACCGUAUAGAAAACAAUGAUGAAGAUUUUGAUCUCCUAGUGAUUCAUUUUCACAGCCAAGUGCAAACAUAUUUGAUAUAGAAAAUCGUCAGGAACGUCGACAAAGAGCGAUAUCCAACAAGGUAGCGAUGAGUGAUGACCCCAGAGAAAAGAGAGUAUCGAGUAGCAUUAGAGAUUUGGGACUAUAUAUGGAUGUACUAAUAUUGGAGAGAGUAUUAUUUGUCUCGGAAGUUUCUAUUUCAAGACGACAGAAUUUGAUCGGUUGGAAGAGUUAUCUGACCAACGUUUAUGCGAGGGAGUUGAUGAUGGGCAUGGUAAUCAACAUCAGAAAGAGUAAUGGUGCCGGUGAGUGAGUCGACGACGAUGACGCUGCUGAAGAGGGUGAGACCUUGAGAUCGAGUUGUAAUAGUGUUUGCUACCAAGAGUUUCGGACUAAGAUGUGUUGCUCCCUUGCUCACAUGUUUUUGGCAGCAAGGGCAAAGGGAGUUGGCUGAGAGCGAGUCAUUAUGUCUUCUCUGCCGAUAUAACAUGCCUACAGAUUAUUGCUCUUUGCUAGUGUGGAGUGUUCUUAAUUUUCUUUUUGGACAAUAUAUUCCUAUAUAAUAUAAUCUUCAUGACAUCCCUGGUGCCUUAGCUUGUUUAUUUGUGAACUAUGUUCACUUAAUGAUAAGUAGUUUUCCUAAUUUGUGACCAAGUUUCACAAGAAUCUGAAUAAAAAUGAACGUUGCAAGCAUGUUACUAAUCGACUAGACGAGGGAUAUGGAUUUUAGUGGUUCAAAAUUUGGGUAACUUUUCUUUUGCUUCUGGUAAAGGUUUAGAUUUCAUUGAAAUAAAAAGAAUAAAAGAAAAAAAGAAGAGGAAACGGGAACCACAACCUGUAGGGAAUAGUAUACACCUAUACAAUGACCAAAGUCAAUAGCUCAAAGAAAUUCGAAAAACACCAAAUAAGCUUUACCACUCAAAGUUUGGAAAGAACUUGGUCUCAUUAAACCAUAUAAAUUUAGACCUCUGAAAGCUUCAGGUGCAAUUCCCAACUUCACAUACUCAAAAAUAGCAUUUGAAAAUGUGACGCUUUUGGUCGAACAAUAGUGAAUGCUUUUCAACUCCUAGUUCACAGCAAGUAGCUAAUUUCAAUUAAGAAAAGAAACCAAAUACAGCACUUGUCAAUUAUUACAGUGUUGCAUAUGAUUGAGGAAUUCACUAAAAAAGUAUACUAUCAAACAAUGUGGUACAAUGACAUGAUCCGCUAAAUUUGGAACUAGCAAUAUGACAAGUGUUACCGAUAAAGGAGAAUGAAAACUCAAGUCAAAAUUUGCCAAGAAAUGACUGGUUCAUGAGCAUGCAGUGUAAAGUACGAUGCUAAGUUGCUAACCACAGAGCUGCAUAAUGAGAAGAAGGCUAGUUCCACCUUGGAAUCUAACCACUGCGCAUCAACUGGGUUGUAGGUGAUGCGGAUUCUACUAGUAUACUCUCUCUAAUUGGUUUGUAUUUUCUAAUCCCUUGACCCAGAUAAUGCGUCUUCAACGCUCACCAAGGUCCUAACUCUGGAGAAGGGUAUCAAAGUUAAUAUCUUUUAAUCAAGGCACUAUUUGUUCUAACAGAACCCUGAUACUUCACCUAUCUUCUUCUUUGUUUUCUUCGACAUUCAAAGCAAUCUGAACAUGGAGAUCUGAUUUUACUUGUAUAAGAUGCUUGCAGCUUGCUAGGUGGUACUUUCAGGUCUUCAACUAGUAUAUGGCGAAGCUUCUCAUUCUCCUCUGUGAGCUCGUCAAUGAUUUGCUGGUGUUUCAAUACCUGAGACAACAUAAAUUCAAUUAAACAAUUCUAUUACAUUUUCCUAACAGGAGUUGAACAGUUUUAGUAGCUUGAAACAAAAUUGAAGAAAGCAAUUGUUUAGUUGAAUAUUUAGAAAAGAAAAAGGUUGAAUUCUUGAUACAAAGGUGAUGUAUGAGCUACAGAAAAUUGGACUCUACAACACAUGAUAACUUGUUCAAAAACUUGUCAAAUGCUCUAAAAACCACAUUGGAACAACAAUAAAUACUAUAACUAUCUGCUACUAUUACAUUGAAACCACAGAAAAGGGAUCAGAUAUUUGUCAGAAAAAAUGACUUCUUAGCAUAUCUUGAAGGCUGUGAGGAAACUCACAAGUUGGACAUAUCAAAUAGGUAUUUACCAAGCAAUAACAUCACCACCAUAGUUGUCUCUUAGUCUCUUAGAUCCAUCACUUGGGAAAAAUUAAUAAUAUUAUAAAAUAAUUAUAAUAAAAAGGAAUCAAUUGAAACCACAAGUCAAUAUUUACUACCAUUUGAAGGAUUUUAUUCUCCGACCUCAAGCGUCCAGCCUACAAAGGUAAAAUCAAUAAAAAUUAGUACAAAAGUAACAUGAAUGGCAGACACACCCAGGUACCUACUACGCCACUACAGAUUGCAGAGAGAGAAAGUGAAAGAGAGAUCAAACCAAAGGGUCUGCAAUAAAAUCACAAAAAUUUCAGACUUAGAGUUGGAACCUGUACAUACCACGUCACUUAGUUCACUAUCCUCUCCCUUCAAAACUGGACUCUGUAAAAAGCUGCUGAGAACCUUCUCUGUACGACUGCCAAAAGGUGUAUCAACUGGAGAGCUUGUUGAUGUAAAAUUAUCAUAAGUUGAACCUGUACCCUUAUUUCCAUAUCCAGGCAAGCCUUGAGUUGCAUAGUCUGCUGGUUUUGUUGCCAUCUGCAUUAUAUUUCCGACUGGAUUUUGGCUUGAUGAAUCAUUCAUAACGCCAAUGCCGCUUUGCAAUGAACUUGGAAUGGCACCUUGAAGGAUUGGUAAAUUGGGAGAAAUUCCAAAUUUUGUCAUCAUUUUUGCCAUUGUUUGCUGGAGAAUUUAGAGUCAGAAACAUAGUAGUAGGCUCCAACGGGAAUUAACACAUGAAAAAGCAAAGUAAUACUUACCAUAGAAAACAGUUGAAUUUGUUGCAAAAUCCCUGGUUUCAGAGCAAGGCCUGCAUUUGGAAGCAAUAGUAAAUGAAUAUUGUUACAAUGUAGGAACUACAAAGUAAAAUGUAUUAACUUAGUAUACAACGUCAUAAGAUAUGAGUGCAAUUGAUUUGGUGUGAUUUAGAACAAUGUACAAUAACUUGGAAUAAUUGAAAGCUGAAGAAUGAAAUUUGUUUCUUAUUGAGAUCUUAAACUCAACUGCAAACGCUAGUGAGAUUACUAAACACAAACGUUCGUCAGUCUAUGACAUUAGUGAUGUAGUGAUUACUCUUAUUCAAAAAAUUAAGUUAUAUCUACAUAAGCAAUUGAUAGAUGCGACUUAUUGAAUAGAAAGGUAGAUGGUAGGACCAUCAUACAUGUGUUAAACUUUAAUAGUCUGAUGACUCCUCUAUUAAGUUUUUGGAGUCAGUCAUUAUAGUGCUAAAAUACAGUUCAUUCUUUGGUAAUCCAACUUCACUAAAAAUACCAACUUGAAAUUCAAAAUAUUGAGGAAAUAUGAAAGAAUACUGAAAAUACUAUGGAGAUCAAGGAUACAUAAUAACAUAUAGGUAAAGUCUGAAUGUUUUUUUUUUUUAAUCAAAGGGUCAACUCUUUAUUGAAUAUAGAACUAAAUUAUACGUUACAAAUAUCAGCUGCUAUAGCAGAGUGAAUAAAAUUGGUGCAGAACUAAGUCUGAAUGUUUUUGUAACUGCUAGACACCAUACAAUCAAUUUUGCUAAAGCAUUUUACAUCCACGCUAUUCGGUGCUUAUGACCAAGGAGAGCAUCCAGUCCUUUCACACCCAAAACAAGGUAAACAACUUAAUAAAGAAUAAAUGAAUUUCUUCAAUAAGCCACGGAUAUUCAGUGAUAAUUUAGUUUAAAAUUCUUAGGUAUGUUGAUAGUAAUUUACAUUACGCGCAUCAACAUUUCCUCAUGAAAACAAAAAAAACAAAGCAUUUCAAAAUAUUCAACUAUCGUAUUACUAUGUAUGAAUCAAAUGGUUUGGAUAACAGAAGCAAAUAAGAAAUAUGUAAAUGAAAUAAUGUCAAUAUAGGAAAGAGAAUAUAUUAUAAUACUGAUUCUCCUAGAAGCAGAUAAGAUGACAUACCAACUCCAAAGCCAUGUCCAAAACCAACGCCACAACCAAUGCCGGCUUCAAUGUUCUUUGCUCCAACCUUCCUUAACUGGACAAUGAGAAAGCAGAAUAAGACAUUUGGGAAUCCUUCAACACUUGUAUAAUGAUUUUCUCUUCCUAUCUCAUAUCAAGACACAGAAUACUCCCGAGAAUCCAAGACUGAAAAGGAAAAAGUUAUUCGACUUACGGCGUCAGUUACAUGUCUGCUAACUCCCGAAAAAGCAUCAGUGGCACCUCUUGUGGCACCCAUGACUUGAUUUACCACUGGUACUGCACCUGGUAUAUAGCCAAAGUAAUGUGUGAGUUAACUAAUAUCUACUAGUCCGCUACAACCAUAGAAGAAAUCUCUUGUCAAUGAUAUCUUUACUUGAGGACACUUGUGACUUAAUUUUAUAGAUUAAUGAUAAUAUAUAUAUAUAUAUAUAUAUAUAGAAUUAUCUUUUUACUCCUGCUAUUCUCUGCGCUUGUAAUUUCGUGAAAGAAGGAUUGGAAAAGAUUUCUAUCUGAAGGUUUUGGCUGACAGAAAAUACACAUACAUAAAAUAUAAAAUUUGAAAAGACUAUUAGAUCAAUGGACUAAAUGAGCAAGGAUAAUAAAAGGCUCUAUAAACAAUAGAAAACUCAGAUUUACGAUCAUAAGUGACAAAGACCAAAUGUACUUUAAGUACUAAAAAUAAUGAGGAAAGGGAUAUGCAUACUUGAAUUUUUGGAUUAUUGAGAUGCCAAAAGGACAAAUACAUUUUCAGUGUACAUAGUAUAUUCCCUGCGUUGCUACAACUCUUUAAGUCUUUAACUUAUAGGUCAAUUAGAGCACGCAUAGGUACAGUGAUGCCCAUCAAGCCUAUAAUAUAAAUACCGAAUUCUAUGUGCUAAACGUGUCUUGUUUUAUAGAACUAAGCACAAAUGGACAUGAAAACAUUCAUUUUUUAAGCACAUGUUAAUGCUGAUUUCUUUCAUUUCUCCCUUCCUCUAAGUUGUUUUCCUCGACUCAAAGGUUAGCAAUGCAGCUUUCCCUUUUCAUUCAUACUUAGACAGGAGUUAAUAUCUUGGAUCAUGCAUGCUAACAAAGUAACAAUGUGGCUAUGUCAGGUGAAUGAUCCUACAUUAGUAGCUUUGGUGACUUGUGGAUAACCUACCAAAUAACCACUAAAACACAUGUGGAAUAUAUUGGUCUUGGAACUCAAAUCCAUUGCCUAUCAGAUAGUGUAAAACUAAGAACUCUCUACCUUCAAAACAACAAUUUAAACUGCUCUGAUGACUACAAAUUGAAUUGAUUUCCAUGUAUGACUACACAACACCAAUUCAAUGUUUCAGAAUAUGAGAUCUCAGAAAUGAGCAAGAGUGGUAAACUAUAGUUCUUGGAAAUAUAAAGGACACCAGGUCCACCAAUAUCGUUGUAUCAACAAAUCCUUCAUUAUCUAAAACGAUAUAAGCACAAGAGACUCAAAUCAGAACAUAGCUUCAAACUGCACACACCCCACGAUCACAUAUUGACUAGAACCACAAUGCGCAAACCUCAAAACAACCAAAUUCUCUACAUCAAAACCAACGCACACUGCAGCUACACUAGCAAAUAACCAAAUGCAAUAUCUAUAAACAAUCAACCAAUCUUCCUUCAUUCACUAAAGGUCUAAAGCCAACAUGAAACAGCUUAAUCACAUUUCCCUACACUAACUCAGCAACCAAAAACACGACCGAAAUUUGAAAACCAAACAAACAAACAGUCCAUUAGAACCUUGUGAGUGAUGGGUUUCACCAUUUUUGGGCUUGAAGAGCCUCCCAAAGUCCAUCUUCAAUAUUUUAAAACUCACAGAGAACAAAGCUACACAACACUGAGAGAGAUAGCAAGGACUAAAAGAAAAGGGUGAGUACCUAAAUUAAUGGGGCGGCCAACGCCGAUACCAACACCACAGCCUAUGCCAAACCCAGUAAAUACUUGACCCACUUUCAAAGUAAACGGAUUCCCUAUUCGAAUCGGCUUCUUCUCAUUGGCCACCACCACCACCUUACUGCUUCCCUCCAUAUUCCCCAAAAAAGCUUCUCUCUUUUCAAAAACCCAAGUCUCUCUCUUUCUUUAGUCUUUCACAAAGCUAAAGCUUCAACCUUUUCUUUCUUUCCUCUUCAAAUUUCCCACCUUUGCCCUCUCUGUGAAGCCUGAACUGUAAGUCUGAUACAAUUUUAGGCAGGAGGCAAACUGAACAGAGUUUCUACUCCUCUGCUUACAAAACCAUUAUAGUAAUCUUAGGCUUCAAGUGAUGAACCAAUAUAAACAUGACACAGCAACAAUGAGGAGGUCAAUUACCAGAUUACCUUCAUACCUAAGAAGUAAGGUACUAACCAAGUGUCAAAGAAAGAGGUUAGCUGGAGUUGUUUGGGCCUAUUGGGCAGGUUAAUUUUUGACGCGGCCCGGCCCAUUGUUUGGGUUCUGACACUGAUAACCCGCCUUAUACUGAUUCUUUGCUUCUGCUAGUGCUAGAUUUUGGGGCACGGUUUCUGGGUGAGCUUCUUCAUCUUUGUUUUGUUUCCUUGUUUUUCGUUUCUCUGUUUUCAUUUUGCUGCAUUUUUAGUAUGUGGGUUUUGUGAGUUUGGGGGCUUUUUGCGUGAACGUUUAGAGAGUUUUUGGUGUGGGAAUGUAGGUUUUGAAAGGUGUGAUCUUGAUGGGUUCUUUUCUGUGUGUUUUGGUUUCUGCAAAUUUGGGUGAGUUUCCUCACCUCUUCUUCUUUCUUUUCCUUUUUUGUUUCCUGCAUUUUUAUUGGGUACAAAAAGUUGGUUUUGCUGAGGUUGGGGUUUUUGAGGAUUCUGGAUUGGAGUUGUGGGUUUGGACUAUGGAGUAUGGAUCAUGUGUUGAAACGAGCUUUCCAAAGUAGAGUUUUCUGCAACUGUAGCCUUGUAUAGUUGUGUACUUGUGUUUAGAGAAAUGGGUAGGAAUAGAACAUUCACCAAGUGUUAUGAAUCCCAUUUGCUUAAUUGGGUUACAAGAUAGGGAUAGGUUUACUUACCCGUUACCCCUCAUGGGGUUCUUUUCAGUUUGGUUAUCUGUUGUGUUUUGGACUUUUAUGUUUAAUAGAUUAUUCAGGGUUUCUGCUUUUGGUUGUACUAUGGAACGUUUAUAUGUAUGUUCUGAGUGUUGUGUGAACUUUAAUUGGUGAUCCAAUCUUUCUAGCAAAGUGUCCCGCACAGUGCUCACUUUGAACACAAAAGGUUUCGACCUUAUCUUCACUUGUGGAAGUUGAGGAAAUCUGUCAAAUGGAGCCUAUUCUACAUAUUCGAUCUUUUGCUGCACUAUAUUCAUGAACACUUUCGUCACAGCUCUUGAUUUUUAACUAGUCCCCUGCUAGUGAAUUUUGUGCGACCAUUGGUACCCCAAUGUUGUUUUAGGUUGAACUUUUUCCUCAGCUUCUGUUUGUUUCUUCAGUUUUGAAAUUUUCCAGCUUGUCUUCAGGUUCCUAUAUAGUGUGUAGGAAAUCUGCUAUGCUUGUUGAGUUUCUGGUAACUAGAUUGUUUGUGGAUUUUGUUGCUUACUUGCUUUGGUUGCAUAUUAACUAUAUAAAAUCUGUAGAUGUGCUCAAGUAUUUAUGUGUACUUUCAAUUAGUAUUUCAGUUUCUUUUUACAUAAUCAUAUGUGGUUUAGCACAUUCAUUUUACUUUACAAAAUUUGGAGUAUGGUAAUUGUUGAAGCUAACAAUAGUCUCUUCGUGGAUCAGGUGUCAACAUCGCUUACCAUUUAUGACAAGCUUCCAUCAGGAAAAAUCAUUGCUUCUGUCAAACUCUGUGAUUACAAAUCUGGCAAGGUAUUCAACUUAUGUUAGCCUUUGAAGUAUACAUGAAUUUGCAGUUCAGCUGCAACUUAUAUCCACAUUUCUUUUAUCUAUUGCUGCAGUACCUUUAUGAACAAGUAAAAAGCAGUUGAUCUGAACUAAUCCUCUGCUAUUUGUUUUUGCAUAGUAAUUGGCGGUCCUAGCAUUAUUUCAGGAGGGGAAACUAGAUACUUGACAACUUCAGUUACAUUUGUAAACGAUAUUGCUGGUCUAAGCUUGACAGAGCCAAAUUCCUUUGAUUUAGUAGUUCUGUAAGUUGGCCACUAACAGAAAAGUACCUGUAGUUUUUGGAUGAUUAAACAGACAAACAUACUGUUGUUAUUUAGGUUUGUCGCAGUGUCUUUUGGUUGCUAGUCAAUAAGAAUACUUGUCUUUGAUGGUUAUUGUGAUUUUAGGUUCUUGAGCAUUACAUAGGGUUAUGUGUUAUCGUUGCAGGAUUUGGAAUCAUCAAUUGUAUCACUAAGUGGUAUCCAUUUUCAAGUAGGAUUUGGAACGUUGCCUAUGGAAAAUUCUGAGCUACCAGCGUAUAAGCGGUGUAGAGUCUCUGCUGUUCGUGACUUUCCUAUUGGGUGUGGACCAUUUGCUCACUUGAGUAAUUUGAAUGCCAAUGGUACAGAGAAGAUUUCAGAUAAAAAAUAUCCUCCUCGAUCAGUAGAAGCUGUUCGGGAUUUUCCACCUUUAUGUGGGAUCAAUGCUUCUCCGGAGGCCAGGAAAUUCAGCAAAGAGAAGUCAGUUAGGGGUUAUAAGCCCUUGUCAUCAAAGACAGCGAAGAAUAAUGAGAAACAAACAGGACUUGGGAACAAAGUUCAACCCAACAUUGAGAAGAAAAUUGGAGGACACUCUCUAAAGAAGAAUAAUCAUGUACCAGUAAAGGCUGCUUGUCAAGGUACAAGUCAGCCUGAUAUAAGGAAGAAGGAGUAUUCUCAGCAUGAUGAAAAAGAACAUAAUCUUGUGAUUCCAAAAUCACGGAGUACAGAUGGGUGCCCUCCUCCUUUUGGUUAUAGUAGUUUGAGCCGCAGAAGUCAUGAUAAUGACACGAGUGAAAGGAACAAGGUAAAGGAGAUAUUGCAUUUGUUCCGAGAUGAAUGUCAGAAGCUCUUGCUGGAGGAAGAAAAUAAAAGGUCAAGGGGUGUGGGAACUUCUCACCGAAGGGUUGAUUUGGAAGCCUUCAAGAUCCUCAAGGAUAGGGGAAUCUCUAUAAAAUCAGGCAAACAUGUCAUAGGAGAUAUUCCAGGAGUUGAAAUUGGUGAUAAGUUUCAUUACCGAGUGGAACUUAUCCUUAUUGGCCUCCAUCACCAGAUACAAAGUGGUAUAGCUUAUGGACAUUUCGGUGGAAAGGUCCUUGCAACCAGUAUCGUUGCAUCUGGUGGCUAUGCAGAUGAUUUGCAUAGUAAAGAUUCAUUGAUCUAUACUGGCCAUGGAGGAAAUGCAAAUCCAAAGGACCCUCAAGAUCAGAAGCUUGAACGGGGAAAUCUUGCUUUAAAGAAUAGUGUGCAAAAGAACCCUGUUAGAGUGAUCCGUGGCUCCGAACUAGUGGAUGGAAGCAGGACAUAUUUCUAUGAUGGAUUAUAUAUGGUAGAGAAAUGUUGGCAGGGUAGAGGUGCUCAUGGUAAGCUUGUUUUCAAGUUUCAGAUGAACAGAAUUGGAAGCAUUGGAAAUUGACGUGUGAGGUUAGUACUACUUAUUCAUCUAUAAGAUAUUUGGAUAUUAUAAGUUAGAACUCGGUUAGUUACAUAUAUCGUGCAUUGUACUGCAUUUGGUUGAGUGGAUGCAUGCAAAUAUGAAAUACUAUCAUAACUGAUGAACUGAAAAUGCAUUGAAUAUGAUUAGACCAUGAAUCCAUUCUUUAUCAUGGUUUCUGAUUUAUGUAGUGUUGAUUCCGUUGGAGUUAAUUUGGUUGUUUUUCGUCCCCACAGAUGCAUGCUUGAACUUGGGUAUACAAGGAAGAAUUGCCAGCCAGUAUUUGACCCAUCUAAAAGAGCUAAGCGGAUGUUUUGUAAAAAGGAUUUUCCAGCGGUUAGUAAGGUGUUUCUGUGACAGGUAGAGUAGAUAAACCGACUUUUGUGAAGAACUUUAGCAUUGAAAAAAAAAAAAAAACUUCUGUGAAGAACUUGACAGUGAGGCACAGAUCGAUGUACUGUCUAGAUAGUGUGAAGCUUGUUAUCGAUGUAAUUAGGUCUAAACUUAAUGUAGGCAGUAUUACGUGACAGUUAUGUGAAUGCUGUGUUGAGUUUGAUAUUGAUCAUGUUUUGCUUGCUAGUUGCAGGAGUUGGCAAUUGCUCUAGUGUGUAAAGUGCAGUUUCAAAUUUCUUGAACUGCGAUUUCCCGCCCAUUAUUAUUGUCACACCUAUAGUAUAAUACACCUUGUUCAUAACCCAAAAGCCCCUAUCAGUUUUAUGAAGAUGCAUAGCUCUGAAUAAAUCGCAAGAAAAGCAUCAAUAAUUUUUCAUAGAUGAACUUUCUCAGAUAAAUAUGUAAGAUCAAUACCUUGCCAGCAAAUAAUUUUCAGGUAGAAAGCAAGAAAUGGACUUAACAUAUAAAUCGUUGCGAAUUAAAAUGCGUGGCAUUCUAAUAUAAUCAUGUCCACUGCAAGGUGUUGGGUGUUGGGGUGGACUAGAGGCUAAACUCGAUCUGUACAAGGAAAAAUUCGAAGUGUCAUAUGUUCUCCCUGGACUUUUUGUUUAGCAAACUAGCACCAACAAAAAAAACUAUACAAUUGUCAUAAAAUAAAGAUGCUGUAAUUUAGAGUGGAAGAUAACUUUAUGUUAAGUCUUUAGUUUCAACAAUCAAAUUUUGCGAGUGAUCCCCAACUAAGUGUGAUAUCUCAUUGAAAUUUUACUGAUUUUGGUUAACGUGUUGAAUGCCAAGCCUACUUACUACAAACCUUCAUUUCAUCGUAAUAUUUACCAUGUAUAUAUCUUGUGUUUAUGUAGUACAAAUAAGAGCAAUAUUAUCAAUUCUAUAUUCGUGAAGUUUUUACACAAGUCCUAAAUAAGAUCAAUUCUUAUUUUAUGGUUAUCUAAGUGACAUCGCUCGUGUAAAGGGAGGUGAAUAUGUGGUUGUCACAGAGGUGCGUGGAGGAGAGAUUGGUUGUGAAAAUAUAGCCGCAAAUGGCAAAUUAUAAUUCUUACGAAUUCAUUCAAAGUAGAUAAAUUUAUGAAACAAUUAAAGAUGUGAAUUGUAGAUAAAAUUUUAAAGUCAAUAGCGUGAGGAAUAAAAUGAAGUUGUACAUAUGUGCUUACCACCACAUGUAUAAAGUUAGGCCUUUUUUUUCUUUUUU
Molecule: long non-coding RNA, 81910 nt
Filed under: Fragaria vesca (wild strawberry)
Lineage: Eukaryota; Viridiplantae; Streptophyta; Magnoliopsida; Rosales; Rosaceae
Description: long non-coding RNA (FVES_LNC002565)
Source: RNAcentral